CUCCUUUCAGGAAGUCAUUUCACCCACUGGAGCAGCUGUAUUCAGGCAUGGCCAAGUCCAUGCUAGCUAGAUUCAUUAUCUGGAUUCAUGCCAGCCAGAGCUCCAACUGGUCUAGCCCCACAAGCACCUGGGUCUGGAUUCUGGCUGAUUUUCCUCUGUGGUCCAUUAUGACAUCACAAGCAGCCAGAAGAGAGUGGGCCAAAGGAGGGAGAUCAGGUACAUAGCUGUAAGGUAGCUUCAUCUAGCUUGUGUCCACUAGACUUGGGAAGCUUUCCUUUGAGGGCUGGAUAAGAGCACCUUCAUGAGAACCUAUUUGCAGGAGGACAGAAGUGGCUGAGCAGUGCAGCUAUGUAAGUCAACAGGCUGAGUUCCCUGAUUGGUGCUUCCAUCUAUUGCUAUUGUCCAUCUUGCCCAAGGAUCAAACAUCAGGUUCAAGCCCAGCCCACUUAUUAGUUAAGAUGGGCAUUUGUCCAGAAUAUAUGAUCUAUGGCAUUUCAAAUUCUGCAGAAGGGUGUGUAUGUGUCAAAUAGGCUGAUAGAGCCACAACUGAAUAUGGGGUCUUCUGUGUGCAAGACAAGUGCUCUUAGCUUCUGAGCUGCUUCUCAGAUUUAAUUGAGAAGUUUUAAAAUGUGAAGUAAUUGCAGCCAUUCAUUUAAUCCCUUUGGUUAACCUGUGUUGGUCUCCAACACUCAACUAGACAUGCCCUGGUCAAUUUAAGCUGUGUCUCAUGCUAAGGCAGCCAUCACAUACUUGGGAGUAAAUUCCAAGGAGCACAGCAAGGUUUACUACCCAAGAAACUUGUGCAACAUUGAGCUGCAUGAACACAAUACAGCUAUCAAUUAUGGGGAUGCAAGUUCGAUUCAUUCAAGCAGCAAAAGGGUUGCAGACACGAUAGAGCAGCCAGAGAAAUCCUUUUGGCACAUCUGAAGCAAAACACUUAAGAAUCAAGGAGGCCAAGAUACUUUCCAUUGGCUUGCUUAGUAAGCCCAUGUUUUAACUCCAUGUGCUAACACAGUUAAAACUACCCCAUUAUAUGAUUCCAUUUUGUCCUGGUUCAUGAUCCAACCCAAAGGUUGCACUUUUAAGUCGUAUUUAUUUCUGUGGCAGAGUGCUCUGCUUGCUUAGUUGGGACUGAGCCCCACUGAACUUGGCAAGACUUACUUCUUGGUAAACGUACAUGGGAUUGGAAGUUAGAUGUACUUAACUUUGGCUGGAUCAGGUCCAUGGCUCUGUUUUAUGGCUUUGCUUAGGCUCUGCAGCAGCCGAGCUAAUUCAUCAGGUGGUUAUUUCAUGUGAAAUACCUGCAUUUGCUGAUAAAAACCUGAGCUAGACAAAUCAGUUGUUUCCAGUAAAGUGUGCUGGCUGUGUUGAUAGCUAUUUCAUGAUAAAUUGAGGGGUGUGGUGUGCUUUUUAAAAAAGAAAAAAUGAUGAAUGACACUAUUUGUUUUUCUGGAUUUGAAAAGGAAUCCACAUUUUGCUGCCUCAGCAGCAGUUUGAGAAGCCAAGAUUUGUGGUGACUGUUCAGUUAGGAGUAUGACGGGAUCAGCAGAUCCUAGAUUUCAGCCACUUUGGUCAUUAAAUCAUUGUUCCAUUCCUUUUGCUCACCCACCUGCUGCCACCUCUGUCUCUCACUUCAGUCUUACUGUACCAAUUCAGUUCACCUGCUCAUCAGUGUGGCCACAAAAGAGUCAGGUACAAGAUAUUUUAGUAACCUCCCCAGAGUAACAACAGAAUAAAUCCAGCAACUGGCAUGUCUCCGGCCUAGGUCUUGCCCCACCACCUAUUGCCCGACCCUUUUCAUUGAAGGUUCUAGUGAAAAACAAAAAAAAUAAUAAGAUCAUGGCCACUGUUCACAUCACCUCCUGGCAAAUAGAAGGGGAAGAAAUGGAGACAGUGAAAGAUUUUACUUUCUUGGGCUCCAUGAUCAGUGCAGAUGGUGACAGCAGUCACGAAAUUAAAAGACGCCUGCUGUCACAGUCCGGCCUACAGGUGAUCGAAGUCCAGGCUGAGGAUGUCGGGACCGGGGGCAGGAUGGCGGGGUGGGAGCAGGAACGAGAGUCCAGAAGCCAGGGGUCCGAGGGUCAGGAAGCAGGGAGUCAUGAAGUCAAGGGUCUGAGGGCCAAGAAGCAAGAAGCCAAACACAGCAAGGCAGGAAAUGUGUUGCUGUGGCAAAGAGCCGAAGGGAAAUGCUGACGUUUUAUCCCUUCCCAGCUCUAGCCACCAGGCACAGUGAGUUACCAAUUGGCCUCACCUGUGCCUCUCCAGAACAAACUUAGGAAGGCCCCAGUCCUGCGAAGUCCUACUGGUCACAGGGCCCGGCUCCUGCACGCACUCCUGACACCUGCUCCUUGGGAGAAAAGCAAUGACAAACCUAGAGAGCAUCUUAAAAAGCAGAGACAUCACCUUGCCAACAAAGGUCCAUAUCGUUAAAGCUAUGGUUUUCCCAGUCGCUGAAGAAUGGAUGCUUUUGAAUUAUGGUGCUGGAGGAGACUCUUGAGAGUCCCAUGGACUGCAAGGAGAUCAAACCUCUCCAUUCUUAAGGAAAUCAGCCCUGAGUGCUCACUGGAAGGACAGAUUCUGAAGCUGAGGCUCCAAUACUUUGGCCACCUCAUGAAAAGAGAAGACUCCCUGAAAAAGACCCUGAUGCUGGGAAAGAUUGAGGGCACUAGGAGAAGGGGACGACAGAGGACGAGAUGGUUGGACAGUGUUCUCAAAGCUACCAAUAUGAGUUUGACCAAACUGCGGGAGGCAGUGGAAGACAGGAGUGCCUGGCGUGCUCUGGUCCAUGGGGUCACAAAGAGUCGGACAUGACUAAACAACAACAAAGUAUGUAUUGUAGUAUUUUAUGCAUUGUGACAUUGUUAUUUUUAUUGAUUAUGGUUUAGUAAUUUAUUGCAAUUAAGAGUGAAUUUUUGUUUAAUUGUUAUUUGCUGCUAUUUAAUUUUAUUGUGUACUAUUAUGUUUAAUGGAUUAUUCAACAUUAUUUGAUAAAAGUUGUCUAUGUUAAAGGUAUGCUUUUAUUAUGACUUUUUAUAUUGGAUCAGGUUGUUAUAAGGUGUGUGAACUUUAUUGUAUAUUUUGUUGUUUUUUCAGCUUGUAAACUCUGCAUAGUCAUAUAGAAAGGGUGAUAUGCAAAUUAGAAAUGAAAUAGAAAUGAAACAGAGAACUUAUUUUAUGUCUUUUGGAAUCCUAGCGAAAACAGAGCCAUGCACUCAAACUAACAGACAGUAAGCUCAGGAGAGACAAAGGAGCAUAUUGAACACAAAAACACUUUAAGGAUAUUAACACACUCAAUCAACAUCUCAUGUUACAUUUGAAAUAAAUAUGGCUGUAACAGAUCUCAAACUGAGCCUAAAGGGGGAGUGUGUUUUGGGAAUGUAUCCAGGAGAAAGCAUUGACCCAUUGAAAGCAUCAAAUGUUUGGGCACGCUCAAUGACUAGUCCAGAAAGCAAAUGCUGUCCUCAGUGAUGUUGUCAAACAGCCAUCGCUACGGGGAGGAGAGGGGACAACCAGCUGGGUUUUUUUGCCCUGGGUGAGGGGUGCCUUUGUGUGCGUAUGUAUGCAAAUAUGUGUGUGAGGGUGCCAAGCUGGGUCUUUGACUGGGGUGAAAUAAAGCCUAGUUUAUAAUGAAUCCCAGAUUAGUUUGUAUCUCUUGGACAAGGAGAAAGCUUGGGCAAGAUAUAGAGAUUGUCCAUGACAGCAUAAGACAGGUGAUGAAAAAGGUACAAUUAAGGGUUUUGGGGUUUUUUGUUGUUGUUUAGUCAUUUAGUCGUGUCCAACUUUUCGUGUCCUCCUGGACCAGAGCACACCAGGCCCUCCUGUCUUCCACUGCCUCCCACAGUUUGGCCAAACUCAUGCUGGUAGCUUCGAGAACACUGUCCAACCAGCUUGUCCUCCGUCGUCCCCUUCUCCUUGUGCCCUCCAUCUUUCCCAGCAUCAGGGUCUUUUCCAGGGAGUCUUCUCUGCUCAUGAGGUGGCCAAAGUCUUGGAGCCUCAGCUUCAGGAUCUGUCCUUCCAGUGAGCACUCAGGGCUGAUUUCCUUCAGAAUGGAUAGGUUUGAUCUAUUUUCACUCCAGGAAGAAGAAACACUCUAUGCAGGUCUGAUAGACCCUAUAGCCCAUUAUUUCACCAAUGUUUUGAACUCAGGGUCCCUUCCAAAGCUGCCCUACCUACUGAGCCCAACAGUUAAGCAAGUAGCAGAGAAUCAUUGCCUUGAUUGAAAUUAGAGUCAGAGAAGAAUCUGCGGAGUCUCUGAGGUGAGUAUCCCAAGCUCCCGAGACUCAUCUCUCAGAGCUCAGAUAUGUGAGCCUUCAAGAACAUCAGUACAUUACAUGUGCAAAACGUGUAAGAGAGCUCAGUUCACGGUUCUAUAUUUUUCUUUCACGAAAGCAGCCAUGGCACAAAGAAUGUUGCAGAAAUGCAGUGGAGAUUAGGGGUGCUUAACCCUUCAGCAGCUUGCCUUGUCCAAAUCAUCCUCCCAAAGCAGCCCCUGGAGAUUCAUGUUGAAGAAAGUCGUUGAGGAUCAUUUUGGAUUAAAAAUUGAGGGUGAAAAAGGGUCAAGCACUUCCUCCCCCUGCUGCUUCUCCACUCCAAAUUCUCUGCUUCUGAGGCUGUUUUUGUUUUGUUUUGUGUUUUGUUUUGUUUUUUAAGCAUCAGGGCUCUUACAUGAGUUUACCCUUUUUCCAUCUUGAAAAGUUCAUAGAGCUAAAGGAGGAAGUUGGAAAAGUGGUGCUCUUUCCCCUUCCUGUUUCAGCUCUAUGCACAUUUCAAGGGAGGCAGUGGAAGACAGGAGUGCCUGGCGUGCUCUGGUCCAUGGGGUCAUGAAGAGUCGGACACAACUAAACAAAAACAAACAACAAAGUGAAUGGAGCAAGGAUCCUCUGCAAGGAAAGCCACUGGGCCAUGGUCCUUUUCCAGGGAGCCCUGCACUAGUGCCAUAGCUACAGGGGGACUAGUUGGGGUUUUUGCCCCAGGUAAAGCCACCGGAGGGGGCACCAGUAGGGCUCCCAGCCUAUGUGUGUGUGUACACAAAUGUGCAUGUGGGGGGGGGAGUGCCCAAGUGGGUCUCUGACCAAGUGAAAGAAUGUCUAGUUUCAUCCCUGCCCUGCACUCUCAAGCCAUUUAGCUCAGUUGGGAAGCAUCUUGCUCCUUGCCUGCAGACUCUCAGGGGAAGAGGCUGGGAAGAGCCAUACACCCAGGCACUGACAAGCAGAAUGGUGGGUAGACUGUCAGGCCAGCCCUUGGGAGACCAGGGCUCAAAUCUCCACUCAGCCAUGAAGCUCGUGGUGUGACCUUGGGCCUAUCCUACCUCAUAGGGGUGUUAUGAUGAUAAUAUGGGGGGAGGGAUAACCAUGCACACCACCUUGAGAAGUGGCACAUGGGAAAACACAAAGCGGAGAGUUGCAUCUGCUGCCAGUCUUACUCAGCACAGACCCAUUGAAAUUGGUAAGUGUGACUAUUUUAUUUUAAAGUUUCCUUCCUCCCCAAAGAGCUCCCCAAGGAGUGGCAGACAACAAGUGCUAAAAGCAUCUUAAAAGCAAUUCCAGGAUACAUGCAGACUGGGAAUGAUCUCAGCUUAAAGGGCUGGUUAGAAGAGGCAGGUCUUCUGUGGUGCCAAAAAGACAAUAUUCUAAUAUUCAAGGGGAUGGCAUUCCAAAGGGCAGAUGCCACAACACUAAAGACUUGAUUUCUACUUUGUGUGGAAUAUGCUUCCUGAUAAGAUGUAGGAGGCCCUCACUUGCAGAAUGCAGAGAUUGACUGAGUCUAUAUGGGGUGAGAUAUCUUUCAGGUCCAUUCAUGUCAAUGGGUCCACUGUGAAUAAAACUUAGUUGGAUAUGACCUUGAUGCUCUAUUAAACUUUUGGCACUGGGCAAAAACCUCUUUAUUUUCCCAGGCCUUAAACUAUGCUGUUUUGUCCAUCUGCAGCCCCUUUGAUUUUAUUAUCAUUUUUGUUAUGGUAUCAUUUUAUUCUUUAUUCUUUGUGCAUUAUCAAGUCUGGGAUUCAGUUAAUUAGUCCUGCUAGCAGAAGCCUGCACAAAGACUUGUGCUAGUUCAAUGGGGCUUUCCCCUCCCCUCUCCGUAUUCCCCUGUACUCCUCAAAAUUGGGUCGGGGGUCAGGAGAACCCCCAGAACAUCACAUGGAGGGAGGAGAGAGGGAUUGUUCUACCCAGCAAGCUGAAAGGCUUGUGCUGGUGGCAUUAUUGCCAUAGUGCUAAGUUGAAUUCCUCUUCCUGCAGAUGUUUAUAUUCAAGGGAGGCAUAGAACUUUUAAUAAAAGCAUCCAAAGAGAAGAGUUUUCCACCAUGUUAGAUACUCCCAAGGAUGCUUUGGUUCCCAAAGACUGGACUUGUAGACAGAAUCAAAGGUUUGUUGGAAAUCAUUAAAGGCCAUAAAACAAGCUUUGUUGAACUCAGCCUUUUUUGUAAUUAACUACUGUCAGAUGGAGAUGCUAAAGCCAGCUUGUUUUCUGGCAUUGUCUAGUGUAGCUCAUCCUGACCACAACACACUGAAUCACUCUCAGGUAAGCCCCAUUGAAUGGCCAUUGGUUGCAGUCCUAUACCCUGCUUGCUCUAAGCAUGUGGUGCAAAGUGAAUACCUAAGGACGUGAAUGAAAAGCUCCUGGACCUACAAAAUCUAUCCUCUCUAACAAUUGGCCAUGCUGCCUAGGCACAUGAUUGGAGUUGCAGUCCAACAAUAUCUGAGGUUGCCAUGUUGAAUAUCCUGAUGCAUAUGAUUACACCAGUGGUGGGAAGCCUUUGGCCGGAGGGCCCAAUUCCACCGGGCCUCCCUAUUUUGCCCAGCAGACAAUAUGGCCAAGCCACGCCCACCUGUCCUACGCCUGAUGUCAUGUAAAGAUGCAGCUGGGUCAAAGGGAUUUGCAAGUGGUGCCAAUCCGUGGAUCAUCACUUGCAAAGUUGAUUGUCAGGGCUUGCAAAGAGCCACGAGUGGUUUGUAUAACUUCCUGCAUGGUUCUUCCCAGUCCCCUAAGAUCAGCUGAUCAGCUGCGACAUCAGGGAAUGGGCAGAUGGGCAGUCCUGUCUACAUGCCACACUUGGUUUGCAUAGGGAGGGAGACAUUAGCAUCUGGCCCCCUAGCCAUCUGUAGGUCCCACCUCCUGGAUUAUACUCUCUGCCUGCCCAGCAGAAGUUUUGCUGCAAUGAAAAUUGUUCCAGCUAUUGACAGGAGUCUGGCUCCUUGAUAAUUGAAACCUAUCGACCGAUCACCUUUCUUUAAGAAAGGCAAUACAAGACCUGCAUUCCAAUCCUCUGAUUUGUUCAGUGUGCUGCAUUGCUUGGAGGAAAUGGUGAUGAUGAAUUAGGGAUUCUGGGUUCAGGGUCUCCAACCCCCCAUUGCACUUGGAGACCAUUUUUAUCUCAGUUGCUCAUAUCUAAUGUCAUUUGUACCUUAUAUGUGCCUGCCUGACAGGACUUCCCAGAUCUGUUUAAAUCUCUCUUGACUGUCACUCUGCAUGCUGUGUCUGAAUUAACUCAGGAGGCUGGAUGUUCGACAAGGUUGAGGCAUUUUCUCUGUGAUCCCAGGUCUCUCCUUUCAUUGCAUGUCUAGAGGUUAUAUUUAUGCUGUGAUUCCACAUAAGCUGAGGAGGGGAAAAUUAAAAAGAUGGUACUGAGUGUUUACCUAACAACGUUAGGCUCCCUUUAAAAAACAAGCAACACCCAAGUUUCUAGCCCCCAUUGUUCCAGAAAGAUUUAUGGAGGAAUUGCCUAAGGAAAUCUCAGAAGCGAGAGACAGAGGCUGUGUAUGCACAACAUUUUAUUCUAGAAUCAAUGGACACCACAUGCUUAUUUUUCUUAUGUAGUCCACUCAGUUGAGAUCUAUUGCAGAGUUGUUGGUUUUAUUUUUGCCCUUGAAAAGCACUUCUUAAUAACAUUAGAAGAGCCCCGUUGGAAGAAGCCAAAGGCCCAUCCUGUCCUCACAGUAACAAGCCAGAUGUCAAUGUGGAAGCCUGGAAACAGGACCUGAGCACCGCAGCCCCUCUCACUCCCCACUUGUGCUUCCCAGCAACUGGUUCUCAGAGGGAGGACAGAGCCGUCAUAGUAAGCAGCCUUAUCCUCAAUGAAGUUUUAUGAUCGCUACCCUCCCUUCCACAUCCCAACCAAAACUAGGAGAAAAAUGAGAAAUAGCUAAAACUGCUUGAAAUCCCAUUUAGAUUCUGCACUUUGUAUAAAUGAUGCAAAUUAAGCAUCUCUAUAUCUCUCGAUUAAUUGGCCAUGGUUAUCACUGGAAGGUGUCCCACUCUUGUUGCAUACACACACCUGAGAAAAGGUUCCAUUGAACUUGAGGGGACUUAGCACAGGAAUAUCCUUGGCUUCUGAGACUCUUCUAGGUGUUGCUGGCAUUGCCUCAAGUGUUUGCCUGCAUCCAGUUCCAGAACCCAGAUUCUCUGCUUGCUGGCAUAGUGUGAUCAGGUUGCACAAGACAUGCACAGAUCUGGCUGCUCGUGUCUCCUGACCUUGUCUUACCAUGCUCUCAAGCUUUAGUGCCUCAAUUGUUGUUGUUGUUGUUGUUUAGUCGUUUAGUCGUGUCUGACUCUUCGUGACCCCAUUGACCAGAGCAUGCCAGGCACUCCUAUCUUCCACUGCCUCCCGCAGUUUGGUCAAACUCAUAUUGGUAGCUUUGAGAACACUGUCCAACCAUCUCGUCCUCUGUCGUCCCCUUCUCCUUGUGCCCUCCAUCUUUCCCAACAUCAGGGUCUUUUCCAGGGAGUCUUCUCUUCUCAUGGUGGCCAAAGUAUUGGAGCCUCAGCUUCAGGAUCUGUCCUUCCAGUGAGCACUCAGGGCUGAUUUCCUUGCAUUUCUCAUUAUUAGCAAAAGCAGAAUAAAAUAUGCUAAAAAAGAGAGACAUCAUGGAAAUUUUUGAUAAUUGGAUCAUAUUGCUGAAGAAUGACUGAAUACACACUUCCAGUGCUCUUUUCUCUUCCAGACACUUAAAGGGUGUAAAUUUCUUUUUAUCCAUUGUAUUUGACACAAUAUGGAUCCCCUCCCCCUUCACUAGCAUUUUUCUAAAAUUAUUCUAUUUGCAAUCAAUACAUUUCCAAUCAAUUCUCUCUCUAGGAGUUUCAUGAUAUCCCUCUAUUGACAGAGCAAUAUAACAACAGAGUCAAAAGACAGAUGUUAAUUGGUGGUUUUAUUUAUAGGUAUAGUUUGUUCCUGAUGUCUAGUAAAAGCAGUAAUGAGUUUAUAACAUUUCAAAUAAACAGCCAACCAGUGUUAGAUACGGGCAAGCAGGGCAACCGGUGGCAUUCUCCCACUUGGCUCGUUGUGGUUGACAGGCCUGCAGGUGGAAAGAGGCAGGAAUGAAAAUGGAUUGAUCACACUGAUAGAUGACAGAAAGCCAACAGAUGGACACUGAUAGCCAUUGUAGCCAUUGAUAGCCUCUGUUCUACCUCCAUUUCAGUUGCUGGGAAUUAUAGAGGGGGGAGGGCUGUUGCACUCUGGCCAUGCUUGCACACUUCCCAUAGGCAUCUGGUUGGCCACUUUGGAAUGGGAUGCUAGACUAGACGAGCCCUUGGCCUGAUCCAGCGUGGCUCUAGUCAUGCUCUCAUGACAGCAGCCACUACAGUAUUGAGGAGGGAUCCUCCCCACCCCCUUGAAAAUGGGUGGGGGUGGCAUGAGUGGGGAAACUGGUGCCCUCUUGAUGUUUUGGACUACAAUUCCCAUCAGCUGCGGGCAGCAUAGCCAAUGGCCAGGGGUGCUGGAAGAUCUAGUUCAGUGUCAUCUGGAAAGUCACAGAUUCCCUAUCUCUGAACUAUAUUCCCCCCCCCCUUCUUUUCCCCAGCAGUGGUGCUUCACCUGUUUUGUGGUUGGUUUGGUUUUCAAUGGAUGUCCUGCCCUGCUCUGUUUGUAAUAUAUUGUAGGCUGGAGCAAAAGGUGGGUCCUGCAUCAGGAGAAAAUGAGAAGUCACUAGCUUUUUGUCCAAAGAAGAAAGCUAUUUCCGUUUUCUGAAUGGAGAGAUGAAUUAGGAUCUUGACAGCCACCACUAGAGGACUCUGCUGCCCUUCCAUCUGCAUCCCUUAAGGCAGGAGUCCCAGCUGUUUUGAAUGGCUGCAGAGCCAUAAUUUCCUCAUUCACCAUUAUAACAUAUUAACUUGCUGUUUUUCAUUUGCAGUUUUGUUGCUCACUGCUGUACUGAAUCGCCUGUAAAAUGUUACAGAAUCAAGGGGUUCUUUGAAGGGCCCCACUGACCAGCAGAAGCUGGCACAGCUGGCCAGAGGCAUUUACCUGACCUUCUCGCAGGUGAGUUUCUGCAGCUUAUCAGGAGGGGAAGGGUGAGGAGUGAGGUGGUAGAUAGAGUGAUGUGGUGCAAACACACUGACAGGAGUGCUGAUGGUAUGCUUGCACUACACCAACCUCACCACCAACUCACCUUGCUCAGUAAACAACAGAAACUUAAAUGCUGGGAGGUCAGGUAAGCACCUCUGCCACACUAUGACAUCCUCUGCUGCUGUUGACUGACUGCCCUAAGCCAGUACAUCUCCCAGUCCUGUAGAAAAAUCCACAUGUUUAACUAACAGGACUGCUGGGAAAUUCAUAUCUGACCAGGAAAAGGCCAUUGUGUGUGUGUGUGUGUGUAUUCUUAAUCCACUCUAGCAGAUGCCAUUCUGGUCUUUCUUCUCUCUCUCUUUGAAAACUUUCAAGGAAAAGGAAUAUGCAGCUACCUUAGACAAUGUGGUCCAUUGCUCAAAUACCACUAGGCUUUCUGCUAGUUUUUAAAUCUAAGCCUGUUUUACUGUAUCCUUCAACUAGGGCUCACUGAUUUAUGCAAACAUUUAAAUAGUACUGGGAAAUGUGCCUUUUUCUCAGUGAUUUUCAUUGAGAACCCACAACUUCAUGUUGUGGAAUCAUCUCACCUUCUUGUGUUCAUAAAUCUAUGAGAAUGGCAUAUACUUUCCCAUUCUCUGAUGGGUCAAAGCUCAACGGCAGUGCACAUGCAUUUCAUGAUAAAGUCCAGUGUUCAUUAUCUCCAGGUAAAAGAUUUAAGGCUGGACUGGGAAAGAACUGUGCCUGAGAACCUGAAGAGCUGUAGCCAGCUGGGGAAGGGACACUGCUUCAUGGCAGAGCAAACACUUUGCAUUUAGAAGGACCCAAAUUCAAUCCCUCACAUCUCCACUUUGCGCUGGGAAAAACUCAUGUCCAAAAUGAUGGAGAGACACUGUCAGUCAGUGUAGAUCAGGGGCAGUCACUAUGGCACUUUCCGGAGGUUGUUAGACUUCAACUCCUCCGCAGCCCUGGCCAGCAGGGCUAAUGGUUAUGGGUUGAUGUUAGCUGUAGUCCGAUGGUACCUGUAGUUCAACAACAUCUGGAAUGCCACAGAUUCCCCAUCCCUGAUAAGCCUUGUAGACCAAUGCUCUGAAUCAGUAAAAGGCAACUUCUAAUGCUCCAGCUGUAUGUCAGUGGUCUGCCUUGAGUUGGUGGCAUCUAACACCGUCACUUCCCAAUUGUUGUGCAUGCACCCUCUCACCAGCAUUUCUGCAGAGGAUUGUUCUCCUACACCAAGAUUAUGAGCUUUGUCUAAUAGAUUGGGGAAUGUUCCAUUAAGACUAAUCAAGGCUCCCUUCCACACUGCUGUGUUCUGACUCCCUGUCCCUUACUUUCACACCUACGUUGGUGGCACUUGGAGAAAAGUUUUGAUUGGCCAGAUGUGUGUCUUUCCUCCCACCCCGCAUUCCAAACCCUUCAACAUCUUCCAAAGUUUAUUUCACAUCAUUCUCAUUUCAGGUCUAGCCUUGCUCACAUGUGCGUCGGCUGGAGUCAUAAUGAGUGAGUGUGAGUAAGCAGGAUUGUUGAAUCAGCCUGCAUGCUCAUUAGAACUGCAAAUAUAACCUUUGUCUGUAUGAUCCAUGUUUCCUUCUUAUGUGGAGACAGCUCUACUUGCAUGCUCAGCUUCCUCCACGCCCUCAACAUCAUGGGGGCCCAGCCCCCUGCCAGCAGAUAUUGAGGGGGCCCAAGACAUCUCUGCCCCUAGGAGUUGGCCCGCCUAAUUCUAAUAUUCAGUUGAACACUCAUUUUGGUAGGGUGGGGCCUGCCACCAUGACCUCACCCACCCCUCCUUCACACUCUGUUGCCAUGAUCCUGCCUCUCCUCCACACUCCUUCAUCUAUCAUUUGAAAAUCAAUCUGCUCCAUUUCCAGUCAGUGUAACUUCCUGCUGAAAUCCCAUAACUUUCCAUACCGCAAAUGUUCUGAGGUUGUUGUUUUUUUUGUUCCAACCUUUGUUGCACUAUAGCACCUCCCAUAACAGUGUAGCAUCACAGCACUAGUAGAACAGAAUCAAUCCACCACUAAUAUACUAUUAUUGGGUUAAGAACAUGCUGCAGACAGUUAUCUUUCCACAAGGGCCAACAUUGAUGCCGAAAUCCAGCAUCGCCUGAGCUCUGCGAGUGCGGCUUUCUCCCAAUUGAAGUGCAGAGUGUUUGAGGACCAGGACAUUCACAGGGAAACCGAAAUGCUUGUUUACAAAGCUAUUGUACUACCAACCUUACUGUAAGCUUGUGAAACAUGGACCACUUAUAAACGACAUCUCCAACUCCUGGAAAGAUUUCAUCAAUGGUGUCUCUGAAAAUUUUUACACAUCACUUUGGAAGAUAGGCAAACUAAUGCCAGUGUACUGGAAGAAGCAAAGAUCACCAGUGUUUAAGCAAUGAUUCUUCAACAUCAACUUUGUUGGACUGGUCUUGUGCAGAUGCCUGAUUAUUCUCUUCCAAAGCAACUACUCUAUUCCGAACGUAAAAAUGGAAAGCGUAAUGCUCAACAAAAGAGGUUUAAAGACUGUCUCAAGGCAAAUAUUUAAAAAAAUGUAAUAUAAACACUGACAACUGGGAAACACUGGCCUGUGAGCGCUCCAGUUGGAGACCAGCCUUUACCAAAGGUGUCAUGGGCUUUGAAGACACUCAAACUCAGGACGCAAGGGAGAAACGUGUUAAGAGAAGGCAUGCUUGGCAAAUCCACACCGUGAUUAACUCCUGCCCAGAAACCAAUGUUCCCACUGUGGACGGAACUGUGGAUCCAGAAUUGGCCUCCACAGUCACUUACGGACUCACUUUUAAAACCAUGUUUAUGGAAGACAAUCUUACUCAGCUACCAGUGAUCGCCAAAGAAGCAGAAGCAGAAGCAGAAUACAUCUGCAAUAGCCCAGACUCUUAAGACAGAGGUGGCCAAAGCUGGUGGACUCAACCACAUUUGAAUCAAUUUAUGUUUUGUUUUUUGCUUUUUAAAAAGGUGGGGGAUGCCUAGCUCCACUUGUUGGAAAAGGUGAGGGAAAUGUUUUCAGUUUAGGUAUUAGCACUGUAUCUCUCCUUGGGCAUAGCUGUGCAUAAUGCUAUGGCUAUGCUUGGGCACAUGUGGUCCAUAACUCUUUCUGCUAGAUGGCCCCAUCUUCAUUAUCAAUGAGGACAUCAUUGUGGGUAGUCUAUGACCCACUAUCAGGAGCAAUCUUCCUACUGCCCUGUGGAUGUUGUUGAACUACAGCUCCCAUGUCCCCUGGCCGCUGGCCAUGUUAACUAGGGAGUUAUAGUCCAAAAUAUAGGGAGGUUUGGGAAGAUUGGUUUGUAGAAUAUAGUAUUUCAUAAGCAUACGGAAGUUGGCCGUUUCUGCUUUAAAUCUGCAAAAAGGUUGUGUUAUAGCUCAGUGCACCAACAUAAUACAUCUAAUCUCUACAGAAAUACUAGCUGGUCUAUCUGGCAAAUUGGAAAAAAUCAUAGCAUAGGAAGCACAAUCAAUGCAGAUGGAUCUUUUUCAAUGCUCCUUGCUUGUAGAUAUUGCUUUUUACACCUGGUUUAGUGCUAAAACACCACAUCACUGACAAAGGAUGCUUCCAGUUGCCCCUGAAUAAUUACAAAGAUACACAUUUUUUUCAUGAAAUGACUGUAUGUGUGACUUACACAGAUAUAUAAUAGCAAAUAUUGCACCCCCAAAUUAUAACACAGAUUAUAACAACUGCUUGUCCAGUUGAUUUCAAUGGGGAAGAUGUACAGCCUGAUUCUGUACAUGUUUACUUUGAAGUAAGCCCUACAAUGUUAUUUUUUAGGAGGUUGCACAGGAUUGCAACACUGAGCACGUUUACUUUUCCCAUUGAAACCAGUGACUUUCAAUGCAAUCUUAUGCAUUUCUACUCAGAAGCAAGCCCCACUGAGUAGGUAUAAGAUUGCAGUCUUGUAAGGAUCUGACUUUGGCUGAAUCGCAUGGCUAGUAAAAGAAAGAAUCCUCCAAGACUAAAAUCUUUGCCUCCAUCAAUAUCAAAUCGUGGUGCAGAUAAAAGCAGCAAAAGCAGAGCACCUGUGCUAUAUUGAUUGAUGCAACAGUAAAAACCAAACCAGGCAGCAAACAACUCCCACACCCUAAGGCAGGCAUCCCCAAACUUGGCCCUCCAGCUGUUUUGGGACUACAACUCCCAUCAUCCCUAGCUAACAGGACCAGUGGUCAAGGAUGAUGGGAAUUGUAGUCCCAAAACAGCUGGGGGCCAAGUUUGAGGAUGCCUGCCCUAAGUGUGGUGUCCUUCAGAUGUUGUUGACUUCUAGCUGGACUCCAACUCUCAUCGUUCUUGACAACAUCUGGAGGGCAUCAUUGGCUAUCCCUGCCCUAGCCUACUACUGGAUGCCUAACCCAAGCAUACAGGUGUUUGUGUGUGUAUAAGAUGUGCAACCUUUUGUGCAGUUAUUCUGAAUUACAUCUUUCUGAAUUAAGGACAAUGCCUUGUACUGAAUCAGACCAUUAGUCUGUCUUGCUCAGUGUUGUCAACACUGGCUUGAAGUAGGACUCCAGGAUUUCAGAUAGGAACCUGUCUGAACCUCAGAUCUUGGCCAUGCAAAUCUCAUGCUGUACCACUGAGUAAUAGCCCCUACAUGAGAGUAAUUUGGAAUUAUGCAGCUGCAGAUACUCACAAGCAAGCCCCACUGGGCUCAAUGGGCACAGACCCAUUUAACCACUUGGCUACACAGGCUUGUAACUGGGCAUAGUAUUGCAGUCUGCACCCUAUGUACUGAGUCCAAUGGGGCUUGCUCUGUAAACAUGCACAGCACUGUUAGGGAGGUCUCAAGAUACAGUAGCGGGGAGAAUCAGUUUUUGUGAUAGAAGUAGCAUUGGCAAAAGUGGAGCUGGGGCAUCUCUGGUGUUUGAAAUUGACACUAUUGGGAAGACAACAAGGAACACAUUUAUUAUGGCAUAUGCUUUGGUGGACAAGAGCCCACUUCACUGUAUACAGAAAGCAUAAUCUUGAGCUGGCAAGCAUAUGUAUUAUACAUAUAGUGGUGAUAAUGGGAAUUGUUGUUGUCUAUCUCAUGAAAAUGAUAGAAUUGUAGAGUUGGAAGGGACCCAAGGGUCAUCUAGUCCAACCCCUUGAAAUGCAGGAAUCUCAGCUAAAACAUCCAUGGACAUAGCUAGGAUUUUUGUUAGUGGGGGGCAGGACUUUUGUUAGGGCAGAACCAAGAUGAUUGGUCAGUUAGUUAAGUAUUUCUAUUGUUUUACUUGAGGGGGCAGCUCCCCCCUGCUCCCCCCCCGCUACACCCAUGAAAGCAUCCAUGACAAAUGACCAUCCAAGCUUUGCUUAAGAAUCUCCAAGGAAGGAAAGACAACAACCCCCUGCUGUCAAACAGCUCCAUUGUCAAAUGGCUCUUACUAUCAGAAAGUUCUUCCUGAUUUUUAGUCGGAAUCUCCUUUCUUGUAAGACUUAUAAGACUUGGUUGUCAGACCAUCGAUCAUCUUGGUUGCCCUCCUCUGCACAUGUUCCAGCUUGUCAACUGUUCAGUUACAUGCUGUAAGAAUGUAGAGGAAUAGGUUUCGAAAGGGGUGGAGAAAGUGAAAUGAGCAGACAGAGAUGAUUCCUUGAAAAGAAAUUAGUUGCCGUGACCCCACUUAGCAAAGUAGCAAUGGUGGUGACAGAAGCUUCCUGGUAUUGGUAAGAUAAUUAACACAUGUAGCCUAAUAAAAGCAACAACAACAGCAACAACAGCUGUAAUCUUGAUUCAGGCCACAGGUGACACGAUUGAAUUGCUGGAUCAAUUGUAAUUCAGCAGUUUCCCACUGGAGUUUCCUUUCGAAGUACUGUUAAGUGCCUUUGCUCAAGCCUGGCCUCCUUAAGGUCAGCUGCGGAGUGCUCUGGUAGGUUGAAAUGAAUCCCCUUUCUGCUAUCAGACCUGUCCAUUUUUUGCAGAUACUAACCUGCGUCUGUUCCAGGUAGGCUGCAGAAGGGGACUGCUGGCAGAGGGCGGCCUAGCAUAUCACCUUUGAAGAUGAGCAGGCGGAUGAACCCCUGAAGGGGUGGCUGACGCCAGCAAGAGCGCUGGUUGAGCAGAUGGGCAGGCGGCUAGAGUUCGCGUCCUCUGCGCUCUUCCUUAGGUGGUCUCUUGGGCCACAAGAGUUUUUGCUGUCUUGGCUACCACAGACGGCUACUUUUCUGGAAAGUUUAGUUGGAACUUGGAACGCUUAUUUGAGUAACAUGCAGCGACCGCGGGAGAGGAAGGCAGGUUUAAUUUAAUCCAGCCCCAGCCCCCCAGCCCCACCGCCGCAGCCUGAGAGAAGCUCCAUAAUUCCUUGCAGGGAGGCAGGUGGUGGAGUCUGCAAACUGAGAAGAGGGGGAAACCCUGUCCAGUGAGCAAUGAAGUGCGCUAGUUUGGCGCAGGAGUUGGGGUGAGAGCGGAUUAUCCUGAAAUCGGAGUAUCCGCCCUGCCCUCUUAUAAUUCUGUGAGCUGUGCGUUUCUUCAGGCACCCCGCUCCUAUUGCGUGGCUUGCGCGGACACAAACCUGCGUGCAUUCGGUGGAGGUUUCCUCCGAAGUAAGCGCGCGCAGGAGGGCAGCUCCUCUUGGCUCAGGAGCUGGCUGCAACCCGAAGUGCAAGCCUCAAGCCUAAUUACACCCACGCCGCCCCCAGCCACGCGCACCCUCCCUUUAACUUGCGCUGGGCGCCCCCCCCCCCCCCGCUGAGCCGGCCUGUGGCCAGUGGCGGCGUGACGUCAGAGCGGCUGCGAGAGGCCGGGGCUGUUAUAAGGAGGGGCGCGCGAAGCGCCCCGCUUCUCGGCUGCUUCCUCGCCUUCGCCUCGGCAGACGGAGACGCGCGGCCCGGCCAGGAAGGGAGAGCGGGGUGGAGGCCGGCGCGUGCCCGACGGGGCAGAUGAGCCGGGAGGCGGGCUGCGCCGCGGGCUUCGCCGGAGGGCGAGGGGCAUGAGGCAGGGGGCGACAUGACCGUGCCGCUGCUCAAGAUCGGCGCCGUGCUCAGCACCAUGGCCAUGGUCACCAAUUGGAUGUCCCAGACGCUGCCGUCGCUCGUGGGGCUCAACGGCACCAUCUCCCAGGCCGGCACUUCCGAGAGAAGCGUGAGUCCGCCUCUUCUUCGCCUGCCCCACGGCCGCCCCUUCGAGGCUGCCAACGCACGUUUCCCGGGAGCCCGGCGGGCCUCCCUUAGCGCCUUUGCAGCUCCAUAGGGAGGCCGGCUUGGAGGGUUGAGGGUCCCAGUUCAUCUAGUUGCGCAAAGCGGGCGGGGAGGCGGGGCACGGGCACACUGCCAUUCCGGGACUCUCUCACCCCCACCCCGUCCGACGAAGCUUUCGCGAGGGUCCCUCUCCUCCCUCCCGACGAGCUGCGAUAAGCUACAAAGCUGCCAGCUCCGCGCUUGCCCGUCUGUUUGCUCGGCGAUGAGCUUCCAUCCACCGCGAGGAAGGCGCGCGCCGCGGAAGAGCUUUCCAGGCGCCGGGGUCCCCGUUUCUCCCCGGCCCUUGCCAUCCCGCGUUGGGCGUCUACUAGUUUUUCUAGGCCAGCCAUCCCUGCUUCCGAGUGUGCUGACGCGGGGCGUGUGUGUGUGUGUGUGUGUGUGUGUGUGUGUGUAACCCUGGAGAGAGAACUUAUUUACCAGCAGAUUUUUGAGGGGUUGGUGAGUGCCUGGACGGACGCUGUUCAGUCACACCCACACUCCAGCCUUUCCAACGGGUCUUUCGCCGGGUGACCUGGACCUCCUCCCCGCCCUGGCCUCCAGGAUCCCUAUCUGGAUGCCAGUCACCGAUGGGCUCAAGACACCGGACGUUUCCGCGCGGGAGAUUCGGCUCGCGUGGGCGGACUGAAGGGCUCGGGCAGACACCCAGAUUUCCUUGAACGAACGCGCUUUGCAUGAUCCUGCCUAGGGUUGCGUGAUUUCUGCCUUGCGUGCCUUUGCUGCAGCUUGGGCCGCUAGAGUCUUUUAUCCACUCGAGACCGAUCUUCUCCCGCUUUCCGCUCCUCUCAGACCACGGUUGGCUUGCUCUUUCCUCCGCCCCGCAGCUUCUUCAAGUGUUUGAUUAUUCCUCCAGAUCCACCCCACCCCAUCCACGACGCUUCCCACUGACCGUGGGGAGUGGAGGAUGGCAAGGCAAUUUUUCGCCCCCCUUUCAACAGCCCCCCCUCCAGAUCCUGGCUAGAUGACACCUUCUGUGGCUCCUUGGUGUUCCCUGCUCCUUUCUUGAGUGGAAAGGGAGAGCCCCCUUCCCCCUUAGCCAAACUGGGGCUUCGGCAUCGCGGUAGCUGCGACGAAUUUCUCCCUCUGUCCCUCCCAGGCUUGUAGCCUGGCCGCUUUCGGGCGCACCGACGAUCUUCAGCUCGAGAUCGUCCCAGGAUGCCGCCAGCAUCCGCACUUACUCCAAAGGCGCUGUAGCUUCCUUACGUCCACCUUGGGGUUAAUUUGGCUUGAUUACCGUAUUUACGCUAAAUCUGGAGAAAGAAGGACUCUUCUCUCCCCCCCCCCUUUUCUUCCCGCCCCCAUUCCUUUCACGCUUGUCUGAGUAGAUUUCUCUACUACUAGAAAACUUUCCUCCUUUCUUAAAGGAGAAGUGCUUGCUUUGUGUAUGAGUAGGGGAAAGAGUUGGUUCAGAAGAGCCCGUGGGUCGUCGACUCUGCAGGGUUUCUUGGGUAUGUGCGGGAAGAAAAUAUUGGUCCCCCUCUCAAGUUCCUGCGGCGAAGGGGAAUGUUCUUGCAGCUGGGCUGGGACAAUCUUUUCCUUUUCUAAACUACACAGUCAUUUUUAGAAAUCCGUGUGGGGGGGUAUAGGUGUCAGCUUAAAUAGUGUCUAGCAAAUGUGUAGAUACAAAUUCCUGUAUAGAGCAGAUGUUAGUACCGCGGGGUGGGAGGUGGGGAGUAAAUGUCUUAUUCUUUGAUGCGAUCAAGCCUUCCGUUGCCUGGAAUUUUCUGACGCAUUUGAUGGACAGUUCUCCAGGGAAAUUUGUGUUACAAUAAAUGUGCUAGUCUACGCUUCCACAAGACUGUCUGCAUCUGUCUCUGUCUGUCUGUCUCUCCCUCUCUGUGUCUGUGCGCGCGCGCGUGUGCAUGUGUAAAUUUUCCCUAGCUUUGUGUCCCAUUUGCAACCUGGCAGAAAAAUUCUAUGUCCCGAACCUGAAGCUGCCUUUCCCUGGAUAAAUCAGUGCAGUGCUGGAAUGAUCUUGAAAACACAUCUGUUAGUGCAGCCAUACAAAGGGCUUCUUUCAUAUUCAAAAAGGAGCUGUUGAUUGGAGUAACAGGUUUGUUGUCUGGGACUGGGCAGGUUUCUCUGGAGAGAUUAGGGAGUUGAAGGACUGGCACCGAUUAGAAUGACUCCCUCACAGCUCAGCUACUAAUUCAUUGAUAUAGAAUUAUUAGUGGAGCUGGAUCCUGUGCUGAAGUCCCUCUAGUGAUUAUUGCUUAAUGGCACAGCAGGCAAGACCAGUCUGGAAACAUUGAUCAUGGGAUUAUGUGUGUACAUGUGGACUUACUCUUUCCAGAGCUCCAUUAUUUUUUGUUACAGAUUUAUCGGUUUUUAGCAGAGGUGAUAAGUGUGUGAAUGCAGUUGCCCAGCAUGAGAAAAUAAUUACCUGUGAAAAGUAAGUUGUAAAAUGUCCACUUAAUUAAGGAAAAUGUAAUCUUAAUAAGAAGUGGGAUCACAAUUCCUGCUCACUUCUGUGAAAGGGAUGGGUAGGAUUUAGUAGGGCCAGUUGCUCAUGAGUUUUCCACUCGUCCCAAAAUGUAGGGGCUGGGAGAAGGAAGCCCUCCUCCCCGAAAUUGAACAUGUCAGGUAUUAAGACAUGUAUGCAAGGCUGUAGAUGUUGUGAAACAGAAAAGACUCUUUAUUGAGUGUGUGUGGAAUCUGGCAAGUGGCAAAUGAAUGUUUGGGAGCAAGUGAAUGUAGGAAUUUCUGCCAAGGAGAUGCCACCACAACUGCAUUCUAUCUCUGUAGGCUGCAGCUAAUCUACCCACUUAAAAUGUCCAUCUCCUGAUGUUUCCUUCCUGCCUACAUGGAUCUGACUUCAACUAAGUCAGGACUGACAUGUGACAUUCAUGUCCCCCACUUCCAUUGUAAAAUACAGUGGUACCUCGGGUUAAGUACUUAAUUCGUUCCGGAGGUCUGUUCUUAACCUGAAACUGUUCUUAACCUGAAGCACCACUUUAGCUAAUGGGGCUUCCUGCUCAUGCCACACCGCCGGAGCACGAUUUCUGUUCUCAUCCUGAAGCAAAGUUCUUAACCCGAGGUAAUAUUUCUGGGUUAGCGGAGUCUGUAACCUGAAGUGUAUGUAACCUGAAGCGUAUGUAACCCAAGGUACCACUGUACACAUUUGUCAGUUCAAGUAGUGCUGGUUCUUAUUGCUUUGGCACUGCAUCUCUAACCUCACUCUGAUCAAAAUUGUCCUUUGUCUUUCACAUGUGUUUAAUGUGGUUGUAAAACUUCCAUGGUCUUCUAGAAUGUGACGGAUCAAACAAACAAAUAAACAAACCACUGGUGUGUUCUUCUGCAUUUGAUGGAUCUACCAUUCACACACUCACAUAAAUAGUGAGUGAUUCAAAGGUGUUUUCUGUGUUGCAUGUGGAAGUGCUCUGUUUUCAUUCUAGAGCAGCUUCUUAGCUUCUUGCUUACUGAGUAUGGGCAAAAUUGGAACUAUGCUAGGGUGCACUGAAGAAAGAAGGCUCAGUGGUGCUUCUUUGCUAUGGAUCUUUCUUCUCUUGCUGUGGAGCUUCCCCAAGGAGCUGAUCUUGAAAGGGUAUAGAACUGUUCCACCCUCUGCACAAUAGGGCUAGACCACCAUAAUAUAUAUGGGUGGGUUUUUGGGUGUGCUUCAAUGCUCCUUUGCAUUCAGAACUCCUUUUCCAUGGGAGGAAAAAUGGUUCUAGCUUAGACUUCUUCCUCAUACAUUUUGAGGACGGUGAGAGCAUUCAAACAUGAGUUCUCUCGCAGUCUUAGGAGUGAAGUACUGAACCCCAUGAUUUUUUAUUUACAUGAAUUGCUUCUAUAGAUCUUCUGUAGGCAGUUUCCAUAUGCCUUCCCUCAUGACCAUAGUGGUUGGUUAGUUGGAGCCAGGGAUAGGGGAAGUGGUAAAAGUGUAAUCCUAGGGCGUGUGGCAGGGGUGGGGGUGGGGAAGAGGACAAAAAUUCUGAUUUCUGUUAAUGAUGUAAUAUGAAGGCAAGAGAACAGCAGUUAUUCUGUAUCGAUUUAGGAUUGAAUGGUAUCUUUCAUCUCCACUAUUUAUGAUUUAAUAUCAUUUGGUGGCUGACAGCUGACUGUCUGCACUUAUUUAGCUAUGCUUGUAGUGAUACAAGAGUUCUGUGUUUUGCUAGAUCUCUUAUAGCCUGUUCAUGCAUUAAAGCCAUCAUAAUAUCAUUGUCCUAGUGAUGAACUGGUGCAUAUGUCUCAGCCUGUAAUGUUAGGGAGUUGUAGUUGUGAGUGCAAUAAGGUUAAUUUCCAGCUUUCCUUUCAAUCUAACUGAUGACAUCUAUCCCCUGCUAUUGAUGAAAAUAUGGUUCUAAAGGUUUGGUGCUCUUCCCUUGCUGCUGCACCAUUGCAUGCUUAGGGAUUCAGCACUACCAUAAUGUGGACAGUUCUGUUAGACAAUACAGCUCUGUAUGAGUGAAGCUUCCUUUGUUACUGAGAAUGGAAGUGUUGGGAUUUGUUUUCUUGCAAGUAGCCAGGAUGAAAACUAUCUUGUUUGUUUCAAUAUGGUCAGAGGCAGCUACUGAAUCUUUGUCAAUACAUAAAUGUAAUCAUCUGUCUCUUAAUCAAGUAACCAACUGAUUUUUAAGCUUAAUCAAGUUUUUUGUGUUGAUAAGAUUGUGUUCUGAAGUCUACUGUUGAUUAUACUUUGUUGCUUGAAAUUAAUCCUCUUGUCCUGUACAAUUGUAGCUCCUUCCAUGUCUAGGCUUGAUUUUUUUCAGAGGCACCAUCUCAGAGCUACGAGAUGGUGGACUGUGGCAUUGUCCAUUCUCUCUCUCUCUCUCUCUCUCUCUCUCUCUCUCUUUUAAAGAAAGAUGAUAAAAGGAUAGAUGAGCUAAAUAAAAUUAAUGGUCUAGGCAACAGGUCUUAUGAUAACAAAUUAAAAUGCUUGUGUCCCAACAAAGCAAUCAUACAUUCAAUACCAGAAUGUUAAAGCUAAACUGCCAAAAUAUUAUUUUUCAACAUCAACAGUUAGCUUUUAAAAUAAAAUUUAAGCAAGGGGCAUGAAUAGUUUUGAAGGCAAUACAGACCUUGUCACAUCUAUCAGUUCCAAGCAGCUUUUAUUCCUAUGGAUCCCUUUUAAUUUUGAUGGGAAAAAAAUCCCCAGUAAAUGUGCUUGAGAUCACAGCCUUAGAAAUGUUUUUGUUUUUUGUUUUAAUGACAGUUUCAUGUCAUUUUUGAUGAGUAUUAAAGCAUUACUUUCUGGUAGCCAUUCACUGUUAUUUGAAGGGGGGGGGGGAUGAGUUUGGAAUAGCCUGCUUCAGAAUGUUCUCUAAUGAAUUACGAAGUGGGUUUUGAGUGCCUGCCCUGUUGCAGUGAUUCGUGACAGUAUCUGCCAGGAACUAUGUAUGACAUUCUAAGCUGUGCUGUAAUAAGGGUGUGAACCUGCCUCCUGCAAUGAGGAGCUAGUCAUAGCGGCAGGAAGUGGAGAGGUUCUGUAACCCACAUUUGAUGCAUCAAUAUUUUUUUCAGUUAUUUUAAAAUGUUUAUAAAUGUUCCUUGAGAUACUCUGGCAGCAGCUCACUUAUUGUAUGCUAGGGCAGGUGAGUGUGCUGCAUGGAAAAAUAAAAUUUCUCCUCUGAUCCAGCCCAGCAAAGAAGCUUCUUGCUACAGCUCUUUGUGAGCCAUUGCUCUGGCCUUUGCCUGAUACCUGUAUCAGGUGAGAAUGCUUGAUCCAUUUGCCAGUGGUGCUGUCAAGGGUCAGAAGCCAGGGCUUCACUCAGCAGCAUGUGCAGGAGGCUCUCUAAAUGCAGCGUGACUUACCACAUUUGGAAGUGAAGUCAUGAUUGCUGGAACACCACAUAUGUGGUCUAAGGAGCCCCUGCCCCCCAUAAGACUAUGGAAUCCAGUCACUCCUGACGCAGAGACUCAGAUAAAUUUAUUUCCCUUGGAGGAGGAAUGCGCCAGGCAGCAUAGGUUCCUCUUUGGAGGGGUGGUGCUGUAGCUCUUAGGCUUUAAUAGUCUUAAAAGCCAACCUUGCUAUGCUGCUCAUUAUACCCAUAUUAUACCCAGAUAAGUGUGCAAAGGUCUGGAAACGUAGAGAAUUAUCAGGAAAAGAGAUAUUUACAUUUCUCGACUUUUGGCCUGCUAUACAAUACUGGCUUCUAUUACCUGAAAUAUUAACAUGUUCAAGACCGCACAGCGAGCUGAGCUCUGAAUUAUGGUCUAAAUGAUGUUUCUUCCACUUUGGUUCCUGGACCCAUGGUAGCUUUUGUUUUUUUGGAUAGUUUUCCAUUCUUAACCAUCAGGUUGGGCAAUCCCUGUCUACAGUAUGUUCUACCUCUACUGUUGAGGCACUUUGCCACUGAAUACCAGUUAUGAGGAACUGUGAGUGGGGAGAGGGUCUUGCACUCUGGUCCUGCCUGCGGGUUCCCCCUAUAGGCAUUGGGUCGGCCACUGUGAGAACAGGGUGCCAGGUCUGAUGCAGCUGGGGUCUUCUUAUGUCUUAGCCCAGGCUUUGGGGGUGCAGGUACCUAAUCGUAUUGUAUCUGACACGUUAGGGCAGCCUUCACCAGAUGUUUUAGAUAACAACUCCCACCCUAGGCUGUCUGGGUCUGAUGAGAGUUUUAGUCCAAAACAUCUGGAGGGCAUCAGGUUGGUGAAGACUGCUUUAGAGACUGCCAUUAUCAGCAGCCAAACAUUCCAUAUUACUGAAGAGCAGCUGAGUGUCAAGGACCAUAGGAAACAACUGUUACUACAGGAGCCAACUCCUAGGGGCUGAGAGCUCUUCAGUCCCCCAAUAAAAUAUUUCAGGGGGCUGCCCCCGCAAGGUUUAUGGGCAUUGCCAUUCAAAUGGUGUGUGUGCUGUGUCAUGUGACCAAUUAUGUGGGGCAGGGCUCCCCCCCCCCAAUAUUUUGUUCAAGCUGGUACCCCUGAUUGUUACACAGCAUAUCUGCUGCAGGAGCUGAAGCAAAAAUCUGUGUUUCAGAUUUUAGUACUGGCUCAUUCUGAUGAACAUUCAGAUUCAAAUGCGCUUCCUCUGGGCAGCAUCAAAUUCAAACAGAGCUGGAACUACUCUGAAUCUGAAUGAAUUUGAAUUCAGAUGAGUUAACAUGAAUGCCAAUAAACUGCAUUAAUUCCACAGUGAAUUCACUUUAGGCAAUUCAGCUUCCAUUGAUUUUUUUAUUUAUUAAGAAACACAUUUACAUUCAUUUUAAAUUAAUGAUUAUGAAGUGCAGAGUGAGCUAGCUGACUGGAAGGGAAUGGUCAACGCAUCGUAUUGAAGUCAGCUUGAAAGUUUUGGUUUAGAACAAGGGUCGGGAACCUUUUUUGGGCUGAGGGCUGAAUAUUGCUACCUGCUUCUUGGGCAAGAGUCCUAGAGUCACCUUGCUACACCUCAGCCUGUCUGCUUCAAGCCUCUUGCAUACUGAUGAGGCAGUGAUACCCUGCAAAUGGGCAUGGGAAAUGGGGGCUGCAGAGUGGAAGGGCAGCAUGUGUUGGUCUCUUCCAUCAGCACAGAGGACCAAAGACCACUGGGAGGCUACUCUGCCUGUCUCCCAGGAAGAACAUCAUGGCACCUGGGAGGCCAUUCUGGCCCCUUCCAUUGACCAGAAAAGGAGAAGCUGUAGGAAGCUUGAUUUUCCCCCUUGCCUUGCUAGAAAGAAUGCUUUUCUCCAAUUGCUCUAGGAGUGCAGGAGUAAGGGGGAAUGGACUCUCUGCCCCACAUCCAUUGGCCAAUGGAACAAGAGCCACCAAUUGCUAUUGAAGAAAGAACACCAAUAAGAAAAGUUCAGCCUGGCCGUUACAGGACAUAAAUUCUGCUGCUCCAGAGAAGCAGACACGGAGCAAUGGAUCCAAACUACAAGAAAGAAGAUUCCACCUAAACAUUAGGAAGAACUUCCUGACAGUAAGAGCUGUUUGACAGUGGAAUUUGCUGCCAAGGAGUGUGGUGGAGUCUCCUUCUUUGGAGGUCUUUAAGGAGAGGUUUGACAACCAUAUGUCAGGAGUGCUCUGAUGGUGUUUCCUGCUUGGCAGGGGGUUGGGCUCAAUGGCUCUUGUGGUCUCUUCCAACUCUAUGAUUCUAUGAAAUGCCCAUUUCUGUCUUAAUGCUUCAUUCUGGCUGUAAAGAUCUAUCUCCCUCCCCUACCUAUUUCCUUCACUCUUUUCCCAUGUAUGUCUUGCCCCCACUUUGUAAAAACAUUGAUGGCAGGGGGUCCUGUCUUUCCCUUAAGAAAUAAAAAUAAACAUAAACUGAUGAUGUGAGCUGCUUUCAGAGACAAUGAUUGUCUGGAAAGGGGGAUAAAAUAUGCUGUAUAUGUGGGCCGUGCAGAGCCUAGAGAUAUUCAAGAUUGUGCUAUGCUCAACUUCAGUUCAUUUCCAAAGCUAACCCAGAAAUCAGCAGGCUUUGGACUGGCCCUGAAAAUACAAGCUGUGGUUUCAGUCUAGAUUCCUGUGGCCAUAGAACCCCACCCCUCAGUUCUCUUUGUGGGCAUCAAUGGUAGACUUUCAUUAAAGGAGUAAGUAUGAAAUGUUUUGUCAUGUAGGAUGCAGAGGCUAGAAGCCACUGAGCAUAAUGUUGCUGGAGCAAAAACAAAACACACUCUCUGAGUAAACCAGAAGAUUUCCAAUGCUGUUCCUCUGAAUGCAGUCUUGUUUCACACUGAACACACUUUUUAGCUUAUUUUGAACAUCCUUUGAAAGCAUUCUCAAUUAAUAUUAGUUGUUCCCACAUAAUGAUCUGUUUCUUGAAUACACAGCUGUGAAUUUUACAAGCAAGAAAUUAAGUGCAGAAUGUCUUCAAUGUAUUCACGCUGAAGCUGAAUUCACUGUUGAAUGAGCUUGCUUCAAAGCUUUUAGAAAAGUAAUUUGAACUGAAUUAAACUUGCAUCCCAAUUAAUGCUAAACUGAACAUCCCAGGAGAUGAUGGUACCUUAGGGUUAUAUAAGUGAGGUGGUUGAAAGGCAUACCAAGAUAUGGGUGAGCUGUGUUCUUCACCCACAUGUGUCCCAUGCAAAAAUUACAACUUCAUUUAAUCUAAUACAGUACCCUCCCUUGAACUCACUGGGACUAUAUUUGGCUGCUUUUGUUCCAUAGCAGGGAUGGAUUACCUCUUCUGGCCAGAUCUUCACUUUCUUAUCCCUCAAGGGCCAAAUUUGACAGGUAAUGCUAGGUAAUGUUGCACUUUGACACCUCAACUGUUGGGACUUCAAAGGGCAGUGAGGGGCUCUUUGAAAGCCCUUUUGCAAAGAACCCCACACUGCACUUUGGCUUUGCAUGCCUGUUUCCAGUAGGUGAACAGGUGUAUGCAGCCAAACUGAGCUGGAUUGAACCUACUACUCACCAGGUGUUGAGCAGAGGGUUUAAUCUUGCUUGCUGCUGGAGUCUGCCUCACCAGUUCCCUGCAGGGAACGCACUGGCAAAGCAGAUCCCAGCAGGAAUGAAACUCUCCUUCUGUCCAUCAGCUGACAGCACAGAGCCUUGGUCAGCAGAACUAUUAUGACCCAUUAAAGAAGGCAAGUGGGAGAAUUCACGUAGAGGAGAAAAUGGGCUAGCAGUUCCUCUGGUAGCCUUUCCUCCCCUUUUCCCCAUGAUGUCAUGUUGCACAAAAUGAGUCAACCCAUUCAACAGUUUGGUGUGGCUUCUGUUUCGAUUUGCCUGUGACUGAAGCAUACAGUAUAUACAAAUUUCUUUCCUGUCCUCCUGGUGCCUAUGCACUACAAUCCUUUAAUAUCAUAAAACAACUCAUUCAAUAAAAAUGUGGGGUGGGGGGAGAGUGCAACAGAGGCAGGGAUCACAGAUAAACAUAACCUUUGAAACCUAAGGUACCUUUUGUUCUAGUUACUGUUCCUACCCACUUCAUGUGUACAGCUGAAGCAGAUGCUUCCAGCUCUUGACUUCUUCUGUUUGUACAAUUUUCUGUUUCUUAAAAUCAACAGUAUUUCAAAAAGAGGGGUUACUAUAGUUUUUUGUUUUGUUUUUUACAUUUCGGUCUCACCCUUUCCCCCCAAGGACCUCAGGGCAGCAUACAUGCCCCAUCCCCAUUUUAUCCUCGCAACAAUCAGUAGUGGCUGGUGAGGUGCAGCCCUGGUGCUUACUGAGAAGGAGGGGGAAAGGGCAAGGCACGUGAAGUGUGGCUGGGUGGUGCACGGCAGCAGAAGUGUCAGAUUGGACACUCUGCCAUGCACCACACUGAGCCAAGCUCCUUGCAUCUCAUUCUUUCCUGCUGGCUCUCAGUAAUCGCCAGCAGCCCACUGUGUGGAGAGACAGCCUGGAGAGCAACAGUGUCCUACCUAUAACGUCUCCCCAGCUACUACUGUUCAGAACCCUGUAAGGUUGAUUAGGCUGAGAGAUAAUGGUCCAAGGUCACUAAAAGAGCUUUAUAGGCACAAAGGAAGUUAAAACUGGGUAUCCCUGAUUCUUUUCCAACACAACUGCACCAUGCUGACCUUAUGUUUAUCAUUUUUUUAGAGCAGCUUACCUCAUUCUGGAUACUGAGAAGCUGCUACAUUUUCUGGAACUUUGCAAACCUUCCCACUACUGAGGAUUCUGCCUCUAAAACAAUUAGAUCUUUUGUUAAGCAAGCAUGUGCUGGUGAUUUCUUAAGUCAUUUUAUUGAGACCACAUGCUUUCCAUUUUAAUAGCACCUUUCACAGCUGCAGAGAGACUGGCUGAGCUCCAUACCCUGUGGGAAAGUACUUGACAUGUGCAGAAUUACAGGCCUCUUUCCUCCUCACCUUCCUCUACUAGUCUGAUGCUGAAGCAGGCUGAAGAUCAAGCAGCCAUUCUUUCUCCUGACUGCUACAUCACUGUUGGAGAAACCCAACUUUCAUUUUUCCCAGGCCACCAGGCAUUUUAUCAGUUUAGUCAGUCAAACACUAACCCCACCACCACUUUUAUUGUGUGGUGGUUCUCUCAGAUCGGGGGGGGGGGGGAGGCUUUGACUCCUUGUUGAGAAGGGCUUUGUAAAGUUGACCAGACCCUGUCCUUGUUGGGUGAGGAAGACAAACAUGUUCUUCAUGCAAAGUGGAAUUACAUGGGUGAUGUGGACAGGACAGCAGUUGGACCAGCACAAGUCUUUAGUAGUCAACUAUGAUUUAUGAGAUGGAAAAACUGUCUGUGGACAAACAUCAGCUCCCUCGGCCAGUAAAGUGAGAUGAGUGCCACAACCCCAGAGUUGUUUGCAACUGGACUUAACUGUCAGGGGUCCUUUACCUUUACCUUUUUUAUCAAUAAGUGACCCAAGAAGCAUAGGGCAGAAAAGGCAUUUUAAAAACCAUUUUUAAGAAAAGAUUGACUGAAAAGGAUGAUUUUAAAACAGUCUGCUUAGUGGACAUGCUCCCCAAACCAUCACACUGUUGGGAAGCCAGUAUUGAAGUUUAGGAGCCACCAAAGAGGCACAUUGGACAGUGACCACCAGCUGAAUAGAUUGUGUAAUUGCCAAGUUAUUAAAGUUCAGUAAAGAAUAUGUGGAAGGAGACAUUCUCCCAGAUACCCAGAGCCCAGACCAAAGGAACUUUUAAAGAUAAACACCAGCACCUUGAAUAUAGCCUGGAAACAAAAUCAGCAACCGUUAGACACAAUAAAUAAUAGAUGUUAUAUACUCAUGGAAGUACUGAUACACAGCUCAAGUAUGGCUCAAAAUGGCUCAAGUAAGUCUCCAUGUCAUUUAAAGUAUAUUCUCAUCCUCUUAUUUGACAACCACCCACAAUCUGAAGCAACCUCACCUUUAAUCUGGCAACUAUCAACCCACCAUGCUAAGUGGGAGACUAUGAGUGGGAGAGGUCCCUCUUCAUGUUAAAUAUGAGAGACCAAGCCCUUUCUUUCAUAGUUCUGCCUGUGCCAGAAGAUUUGACAGCAUGGUGGUCUUAUCUCAGUUUGCAUCAGGCAUUGCUCAAAAGUCAGAAGCAGUGAGAGACUUGGUUAAGCUAACAUAUUGUGAGGCCCCCUGCCACCUCCUAUUUGUUAUGUAUCUGUGCCUGAGGGAAUAUUGUAGGUCCAUGGCAAAUAUAAAUCAUAAAGGUAAAGUGACCCCUGACCAUUAGAUCCAGUCGUGACUGACUCUGGGGUUGUGGCACUCAUCUUGCUUUAUUGGUCGAGGGAGCCGGCGUACAGCUUCCGGGUCAUGUGGCCAGCAUGACUAAGCCACUUCUGGCGAACCAGAGCAGUGCAAGGAAACGCCAUUUAACUUCCCGCUGGAGCGAUACCAAUUUAUCUACUUGCACUUUGACAUGCUUUCAAACUGCUAGGUUGGCAGGAGCUGGGACCGAGCAACGGGAGCUCACCCCAUUGCAAGGAUUCGAACCGCCGACCUACCGAUUGGCAAGCCCUAGGCUCAGUGGUUUGGACCACAGUGCCACUCACUGUGAUUUAUUAUUGAUAAUUAAGUUUAAAAAUAUAACACAAAUAAACUAAUUCACAAGGGAGAGAUUGGCUCUAAUUAUGGUUGGGGAACUUUACCCCCUGACUGAUGUGUAAUAACAACUGACCCAAAUGCAUCUUAGGGGAAAGGGUCCCUAAUGUGGAAAUGUCAUUUCUAGGAAGGCAAGGGUUUAGAUAUCUCCUUUUAGAAACAGUUGAGCUCUUUCCACUUGUCCCAUGCAAGAAGCAUCUUCUGUUGUUUUCUCUUUCCAAGGAGCACCUGGCCCCUUGCUGUAGCUCUCUUGCAAGUAAGAUAGCCCUUCCUCUUUGGGCAGUCCACAACUGGCACAUGAGUCUGGCUGCUACAAAGCAUUGUUUUCUUUUUCAUUUGGAUUUCUCCACCUUCACUUCCAUCCAUCAGUUCCCCACUGCCCCUCCCCAAGACAGCUUGUUCGCUUUUCCUGCCAAAAGUUUUAUUAGUGCAUCUGGUUUCAGCCAGCCCAUAAAUGCCCCCAGCAGCAAAAUUUCCCUUCCGCUUUAAGAAUUUACACUGCCAACCCAUGCCAGCUCUGUGAGAACAGCUGCACAUUAAAGCUAUAAAAAGCCUCUGUGCCGUCGUCUUCCCUAAUGGAUCUACCCUCCUAAACACUGAGUUACAUGCUGCGUGUUGCACCCAAAUUUAAAAUAAAGCCACCACACCAGCCACUGGAGCGUGAGAUGAAAUGUUUUGAUAAAGCCAGAAAGGGCUGCUAAUGGAUCACAGUUGGAGCAGCACCUUGGAUAGGGGCAGUGGGCUUAAGUUUGAUCUGAAGGUCUAUGCGAUAGCAUGGCAGUUAAUCAGCGUCAGGUAAAUGUUGGUUUUCUGUGUAGAGAUCUCAUUUCUCUGGAGGGUUGAAUAAUAAUAAUAAUAACAAAAAUAAAUAAAUAAAUAAAUAAAUAAAUAAAUAAAUAAAUAACAAUAAUUUAUUUGUACCCUGCUCAUCUGACUGGGUUGCUCCAGCAACUCUGGGUGGCCUCCAACACAUAUAAACAUAAUAAAGCAUUAAAUUUGAACUUAGGGACUGCAGGGUUGUGGUCUGCAAUGCAGUCUUGCACCCAAUCUUUUCUAUAGCAUUCAAGGGGCAGUAAGAUUGUGAGACAACAUGACACUUCUGUAGCAACGUUGUGGUUCAAAGUGACUUUUAGUGGGGUGAACGGUGGGGGGAACUGAGGGCGAGUGAUAGAGCAGCGCUUUACUUUCUAGUUUUUCCUGGCUCAACAAUCUUAUCUCGACUAACAUACUUCCCUUGGCUGCAGUAGUAGUUUUGAGGGCACAGACGACCUGCAUUUGGUGUAUGAGUUGCAUCAACCCAGAUGGGAAAUUGCAUUGGUUUGGAGAGGGCCAAACCUCUCUCUGCAACAUUUUUGAGUUUAAGAAAAGCAAAAUGAAAUGGCUGGCCAGAAAUGCAUUCCAUGUUCCUUUUGAAUAACUAUCAUAUUCAAGAACUCAAGGUGUGGGUUACAGUGUCUUAUUUUACUCCUAACCCUAUGAGAUACUGGGCUGCCAGCCAGAGAUCCUUUUGAUUGCCCUGCUCCUCUAUGAGUACCAGACAGCCAAGCCAGUUGCAGCAAGGUAAUUCUUGGCUGCUACUGCUGCCACCACAGAAUCUCUAGGUGUAGUGAUUGCUAACUGGCAGUCCAAGGGCAGAAUCUUGCUGCCAAAGCAACAGUGGACUUAACAGUACCCUUCUCCAAUCUUGUGUCUUCCCAGUGUUUUGGACUACAACUCUUCAUCAACCUGAGCCAGCAUGGCUAAUGCUUGGGGAGAAUGGUAGACUGCUUACCAUUAGAUUCUAAUGGAUUGUUGAAUAUUGCUUUAUUUGAUAUAAGUUGUUUAUUGUAAAGUUAUUGUGACUAUUAAUGUUAUUGUUGCUAUUCAUGUUUGAUGUUUUAUUAUGUUUUUAUAUGUGUUGGAAGCUACCCAGAGUGGCUGGGGCAACCCAGCCAGAUGGACAGGGUAUAAAUAAAUUGUUGUUGUUGUUUGGAGGGCAGCAAGAUAGAGAAGGCUGGGACAGGUGCACUGUUGCUUGGGUGGCUGAAUUCUGCUAUUGGGCUGUUGGUUUGCCAUCUUGUACACUUUAAUUAGGGUAUGGUGGCAAACAGAGGCAAAGAGAAAAAGAAUGGAUGAGACUGUAUUUCAUUUAUUAGGCUCUUAAUGUUUUUGUUUCUGGGGUACUCAGUGGUACUCAGUACCAGCACCCACCAUGUUAAAAGUGUGGGACUUACUGUAACAACUUCAUGGUGAGGUUCCAAGCAUGUGAAUUUCAAACUUAGGUGGCCCUUACAGCUAGGUAAUGCUGACCUCAUAAAGCCUGUCUACCCAUUGGGAAUCUUCAAGUCUCUCAACUAUUGUGUGGAAAAUAGGAUAGCCCGUCAGUGUGCAUAAACUGGCUAUUCUUCAUUCAAUUUAUUACAAUAUGGAUGCUGAAAGGAACAGCAAGCUUAGGAAAAUGUAGGGCUGGUAAUGCAGACUGCAGCUACACAGAGUAUAAGUGAGAUCAUCUGCAGUUCAGAAACAGUAUAGUUAUGUUUCUUUAAAAUACAUUUGAAAAUUUGAAAAGGUCCCUAUAAGUUACUGAGAUGAUGAAUAUGGCAAUCUAUCUUGACUUGUGCAUAAAAAGUAGAAAUAAUUGAAUUGAAUUAGUUCUGAGUUUCUCAAACUUGUUCUUGAUUACCUUUUAUUAAGGAAAGCAUUUUUGGAACUCUUUAUCCAGUGCAAACUAUUCAAAACAUUUUAUAGGUCACAUUGCAUGAGGUUUGAUCAAGCAGUACUGAUCCCCCACCUGAGCCAUUAUAAUGGAUGUACUCACAUCAAAUGGCAUUGCAGCUGAUUUUUGCAGUUUUAGUUGGCCAUGAUGAUGGGGGCAAUUAGGUGUGGUUUGGGGUUAUUGUAAAUGAAACACAGCCCUGCAGUCUACUACGCACCUACUCACCUAGGGUGAGAAGCUUCAUGCCCAUUUAAAGAAGAGAGUAUUGAAUGCCCAGGAAAUCCCAGGAAUGCAAAUGUGGAAGGGAGGAUUGCCCAUAGUCCAGUUUCCAAAAAUAUGCUUAAAUUAUAGCUUUUGGAUUUCUGAUGAAGGCCUGGUAACUACUGCAUAGGAGCCUAAGAGGAGCCCCGCUGAAUUAGAUCAAGGGCCCAUCUAGUCCACCGCUAGGGUGAGAUGACUGCAGGGUUCUCUACUUGGGACUGCUCUUAGUUUUUUAGCAGCUGGACUAGACUGUGCAGCUAAAAUAUUUAGUGACAUGUUUCAUAUUAUUCAGUGCUAUAAGCAAAGGGAAAGAGUUAACCAGAUGUACCACCUCUAAACCCCUGGGGAGAGGGGCAGGAAGCACCUACACAGGUUAACACAAAUAGGAGAUCUUAAUAUUUUCUCUCUCCCUCUCCCUCUAGCCACAUAAUUUCCUGGAACUGUCGCCUGCAAUCUCUGCAAAUGCUUCAGCCAGCAUAAAAGAGUAACUAAUCAAGCAGCUAAUGCACAUCCGAGUGCCAAUUGUGGGCCGGUGAAUGGGAGUGGGUAAUCACUCCAAUUGGAUCAGGCAUUCUUUGCUGUCAACAAAGACCACACAGGGAUUAAUCCCCUAGAAUUGGUCUGACCACAUUUUGGCCUUGUAUACAUACAGUUCUGAGCUGGAGGCAGUGGGCUGCCCUGGGAUCCUCUCCCACUGGUCCUACUUAAUCUCAGGCUCACCCUCCCAAUAGAAUCUUCGGUGAGGCUGGAAAGCUGGAAAGUGAAAGCAGCCAACCAAACCGCAACUAUUUUUCCUUUUGAAUUUUGCAUGCGGGAGAGAAAUAAGUGUUUCCAUGGUUACUUGUUGUGGAGAAGAGGGCCAUUCCCUCCCAUCCUAACAAUAGAAAAAGUUCAAACAACUUGAGUGCUAAAGUAGCUGAUUUGUCAUUGGAUCCACAGUGUGUGGUGUGAUGGAUGUUAACAGCUACGCAUCUUCCAGAAAAGCUCUCCAUCCUUCAAUGUAUGGAAACUUUCAGCAAAGCAUCCUUAAUUAGUAGCUGUUAAUAGGGUCUGUUAUCCUCUCCUCCGCUGCCCGUGAUUACCCAAGACAAAUUAAUGUGCUCUUAAAGUACUUAGCACUGAUGUAUUUAAUUCUGUUUGUUGUACUUGGUCACAGUUGGUGAUGCUCACUUACAAUUCGCUGUGAGUUUAGCAUCUGAAGUGGACGUGGAUCUCCAAGGAAGGUGUUAUGUGUAGAAAGAGGAAUUCUGGCGUAUGAUGGACCUCAGUUAUUGAGAGGACUGCUCCAUUAAUCAUACCAAGCAACUCUGGCUCUGAGAGCUGUUCAGAGCAUCUGCUGAUCAGGACUGGAGACAAGAAUGUAAGCCAAGUAGGGCCACAAAUCUAGGGAACACAGCAGCUGCCUCUCGGGAAGAGGGAGCCAAUGUGAGGGCAGUGUUGGUGAGCAGUGAAUGUGUGAUAGGGAUGUGGAAUCAGAGGACAAGAUAUCAGUUGGAAAAGGCAGCCACCACAGCAGCAGCAGUAGCAGCAGCAGUAGUUGUAGUAGUAGCAUGUCAUGAACACGACAGCCCAAAACCGAGAAGGGCAGCCUGAGUUAGAAGGCAGGCAGGCAGAAGGAGAACAGGGAGACUUGAGGAUUCCUCAGACAGCUGGAAGCAGUGGGCUGAUGCCUCCUCCCUCUGUAGCUGGCAGGAAUGUGGUUUAUCAACACAGGAAAAGUGGGCUGGAUAGGAGCCAGCUCUCUGAGGAAUUACAGUCACUCACGGCACAAGAGAGGGAGAGAAUUUCCUCGAUGGGAGGUAGCUGACCCCGUCAGUCCCAGAACUAGACGAAUGGGAAAAGUCCGAGACAGACGACGACCCCAGAAACGUAAGGGUAGGAGGUUCAGGAUAUUCUGCAAUAGCCGGAAGUAUUCUUCAGAAGAGUCAAAAUGAUUGUGAUAGAUGGUCGCUCGGAGAGAGCGAUUGGAGGCUAAUUGCUUGUAUGCAAUAAAUCUUCUGUUAAUUACCUCUUGCAUCCCGACAUACUAAUAGUAGUAGUAGUAAUUAAUAAUUGUAUGAUUUGUAUGCCAUCCAUCUGUCUGGGUUGCCCUGGCCACUCUGGGCGGCUCCCAACAAAAUAUUAAAAACAUGAUAAAACAUCAAGCAUUAAAAGCAUUAAGUGGACUUUAUUUGAGAAAUUCCACAUUCUACACCAGCCUUUCCGAACCUGUUGGAACUACAAAUCCCAUCACCCACAACCACUGGCAAUGCUGGCUGGAGCUGUUGGAAGCUGGAAUCCAACAACAUCUCGAGGGUACAAUGUUGGGGAAACCUGACUCAUGAUAACCAUUUAAUAUUAUUUGUGUCAAAUGGAUGCUGAAUGACAUUAUUUGAAUAUAGUUUCAUUGCUGCCCAUCAAAGGCAGCAAGAGUAUGUAAGUGGGAACCUGUGGCAUAAGCGAGGCAGAGCAGCUGGAAGGAGUAGUAGAUGCAAACUAAGAAAGGAGAGUUGCCAAUAGUCUCCUGUCCCAGCAAUCCACUUCUUAUUCCCCACACUGCUUUUUCACAGCAAGGCUAUGGGAUGAUGGACUGAAACAUAAGGCCUCUAUUGGGUGAUAUGAAUGGGUUGUCUAGUCCAGUAUCCUAUUUCCAGCUGUGGCAAAUCAUAUGCUUCUGCAAAAAUCACAAACAGGGCACAACAGCAAGAGCAUUGGUUAUUCAGAGGUAUAUUGUCCUUGAGCAUUUAUCUUGGUUAAUAUCUGCUAAGACAAAUUCAUGGAAAAUGGAUCUAAAAAAGGGGGAGCCAACAAGGUGUCCACCAGAUGUGGCCGAACCACACCUCCCAACCUUCCUGACCAAUGGCCACAAUGGCUGGGGCUAAGGAGAGGUAGUCUAAUGUAUUUUUGAGCCAUCAGAGCUAGUGGCUCUCACUGCACCUAAUGGCAGUGAAUUUCAGAGUCAAUAUCAUUGGGUGACACUGACUUCACAUAUUAUGCAUGUGGAGAAGAUGUGAAAAAUGAUCUCACAACACAAUGCAGUGAAUUGUCUGGUAUUAGCAUAAUGCUGAAUUUAUUAAUGUGAGGCAUUUUGGUGGGACUAUUGGAAUGCUGAUUCUCCGUUUAUAUGUUGUUGAUGUGUUCUGAAUGAGUGGUUAAUGCAUUGUUUUGGGAUGUUGCUCUUAUAUCUAAUGUAAUAUAUUUGUUCUUUGAGUUGCAUUGGGCAUGGUUUACCAUGGAGGGUAGCAUGGAUGGUGUUGAUACAUAAUUUUAUAAUCCUCUGCCAUGCCCACCCUGCCAAUCUUUCCCCUCUUUUAAUGAAUAACUGCAGGUGCUUUAGGCUUUCCGCAGUUGAAAUGUGUCCCAAUUGCCACACAAACACACAAUCCAGGCAGCAGUGUGACUAACAUUUUUGGCUUAGGUGAAACUGACUCCUCUUCAGCUGAAUGUGAAUCCUCAUCUCCAGGUAGGGUUUCCUGGCUCCCGCCGUUCCCCAUUAACCGAGCCAUCCAUUAAAUGAGAGUGCUGCUGAUGAUGCCUCUUAGAGCUGCAUUAGCAACAUGCUCCCCUGUUGUGAUUAAUGAUUUUACAGUGACUAAUGAUUAGCCAAUUAUUGUAAAGUGACGCUCGCUUUCCCCUGGGCCGUGCUAAUUAGCUUUGCAGCCCAAGGACCCAAUAAGGGACUUAAAAAAAAAAAAAAGCUCUCCCUAUUGGUGGUACCCCCACCUUUUGGCAAACAUGACAUUGGCAGCAGGAUCCAUCCCAGGAACAGAUGUCAUGAAUUGGUGGCAGAACACAGAAACAACACAUACUCCCUAGCUAGUUUUCUUUCCCUCAGUGGAGAUCUUGCACUCAGCAAACUGAGGACCAUCUUCUUACAUUAGAUGGGAACAGGUUACAUACAGUUUUUGUAGGAAUAGCUGGCUGAGGGGGGAAAUUAGCUGGCUGGUGAAAGGAUGCUCAAAAUGGCAAAGAAGUUCUUGUUCAAGCAUUUGUUCAGUGGAUAAGGAUGAAACACAAUCCUCCAGUGUGGUGUAGUGGUUAAGAGCGGUAGACUUGUAAUCUGGGGGACCGGGUUCUCAUCUCCACUCCUCCACAUGCAGCUGGGCCAGUCACACUUCUUUGAAGUCUUUCAGCCCCACUCACCUCAGAGUGUUUGUUGUGGGGGAGGAAGGGAAAGGAGAAUGUUAGCUGCUUUGAGACGCCUUCAGAUAGUGAUAAAGCGGGAUGUCAAAUCCAAACUCCUCCUCCUCUUCUUCUUCUUCUUCUGAAAUACUGAGGGAGGGAAAUAAAUUUCUCUGUAAUUUUUGGGUGACUGUUGCUGCUUAACUCACUUAGUCUUACGAAGUGGGCAGGUGUGUUCUAGUUUUUCUUACUUUUUAAUGCACAUACUGAAAGAGCCACAAUCCAUGCACAGCCAUGCAAGGCUCUCACCGUAUCUUUCUACUGGUUACAUUUCUUUGACUGCAUUGGUAGCAGUACUGCGCCAUGUUUCAACAUGUAGCUCCCAAGGCAUUUCAGCAAGUGUGGCUGGCAAAAAUUUACACAAGGCUCUCUCUGCUGUACAAAGGUGCCUAACCUGUUGUUCUGCCAAGGGCAGGGUUCUUUCCAGAUCUGGAGCCAAUAAGCACACCAGUGGAUGAAGAAUAAGCAAUGCUUUAUUUGCAUAAGGUUAACAGAUAGCAGCAGGCAUACAAAACACAAAUUACAGCAUACCUGACAAAAGUCACACACAAUCUUCCCUUCAGCUGCCCGGAGCUCCAGUUAGAGCAGCGAGAGAGACCCCAGCCAACAGUCUCACAGCAUCCGGUACCUCGACCUGUGGAGAAGCUCUCUGAGCCCCUUCAGCCUACAGCUCUUAUAGUCAACUUUGAUUGACUUGAUUGACUGCACCUGGUUAGCAAGCAUCACUCAUGAUCAGCCCGGGACAUGGAGUGUGAUUCAACAGGAAUGCGGAGCAGCUGAGAGUCUCCAACCCAAUUCACUGCAACUGGGUAUCCUCCCCACUAGCCAAUUAGCACUUAGAACACAGGAGACCCAGGAAACUCCUGACACAGGUGUGUGGAAAACAAGUUAUACCAGCAUGAAUCAGCAAACUUAAAACUGCAGAUGUUAAGGGAAAGAGACAUGUCAUCUAACUCCUUGAAAUUACAAUGGUCUUCCACAUUUCCCCUACACCUGUGCCCCUCCAAAUGUUGUUGGACUCCAGCUCCCAUCAGUCCCAGCCAGCAAGGGAUAAUGGGAGUUGGAGUCCAGCAACAUCUAGAGGGCUAUAGCUUAACAACUUCUUCUCUACAGCUUUGAACCACUAAGGUAAGCACAACCACCUAAAAAGAAAUGCUGAAGAAAUUUCUCCCACCCCAAGAAGGCAUAAGGAAAUUCACCCUUGUUUUCACACAGGGAGUGGGGUGGGAAUUUUGGUCCAGCCUUGAGGUGAAGAGUGAUGAAUCUCCUCCUUACCUACCAUUUUCUCCCUGCUGAUGCUUCUACCUUCCCUCAAAAGCAUUAGGAGGCCACCUUGUAAGGUCUGGUCCCUGCCAUUAGUGGAGCUUCUAUCCAGGUAAUUCACAAGAUUGCAGACUGGAUGUUGGCACUAGCAGUUGGGAUACCAGGAUGUGAAGCUUCAGGGGGUUGGUGGCUGAUCCAAGAAGAAAGAAGAGAUGCUAACCAGCAGCCUGAUGCCCUGUGAACAGCAAUCACUGUGUGCAUAUUUAUGCAUAUGAGCAUACAUGUGAUGAGCUGAGUAAACAACUCAGGCAAAUGUCAGCCCGUGUCUCUUUCCCAAAGCUUCAUUUAAAUUAGCCACCAACCGGGGCUAGGUUGUUUAUUUGAGAUUCUCCAGCUGCUGAAAUAUGUGUAAGGAAGGGACUAUUGCUGUGUCUUGCCCAUAUAUAUAUUUAGAUGUUUGUGGUUUGAUAUUUUAAUGAUCUAUGUUCAAGAUGUUCAGUGAAUAAGCUGUGGCCACAAAAGAAUAGUCCAGUGAAGGGGUCAAUUCUGAAAACUUGGACAGAACUAAACAUUGCAAGAUACCUAUAGCUGCCACCAUAGAAGCCAACUCUUAGAGGCCAAAGUCCCUUCAGACCCCCUGCCCAAUGAAAUAUUUGAGGGGGCUGGGCCCUCCAAAGUUGAUGGGCAUUGCCAUUCAAAUGGUGUGUGUGUGCAAGGUGUCUUGUGAUUGAUUAUGUGGGGUGGGGCUUACCUGCUCCCUAUUUUAUUCAAGUUGGCACCCCUGGCUGUCACAAAUCUUCUCCCCUCUUUUUGGGCGGGAGUGGGUGACAUUAGUGAAACUACCACAGACUCUUCAAGUGUCUCUAUUUUCCAGGGGUGUCCCUGAUUUAAAGAAGCAAUCCCAGUUUCUGAUUUGAUCCCAGAAUGCUCCACUUUUCCUUGGGAUGUCCCUAUUUUCCUUGGAGAAAUGUUGGAAGAGUAUGGAGUUAUCCAAACCCCGAGCUGUCUGAAGGCAUUCCUGUAUAGGGAAGGGUUUUUUUAAUGUUUGAUUUUUUAAAAAUGUUUUUAUAUAUGUUUGAAGCUGCCUAGAGUACCUGGGGCAACCCAGUAAGAUGUGUGGGGUAUAAAUAGCAAAAUUAUCAUUGAUGGAAUUGUACGUCCCUAUUUUCAUCAGAGAAAUGUUGGAGGGUAUGCUGUCAGUGGUGUGAGGUGGGUUGGGUGUGGGAGUGGGAGACACAUAGUAACCUCAUUUCAUAUCAUAUAAUACUUGUCCUGAGAAUCCUAGAUGUUUUACCAGGGAGGGGAGAGAAAGAAACAAUGAAUGGUGGCAGCUCCACAUCUCUCUAACAAUAACUGAGACCACCCAUAGCUCCUCUGAGGUUUUGAAAGGUUUAGCGGAGAGUAUUUAGUACACCUUCCUGAGUCCCUGAAUGAUGAGUGUUUUACUCAUUUCUGAGAGCUCUGACAGUUCUUCGGCUGGGGUGUUGUUUAGGGGUUUUGUUGCGGUUGGGCUGUUGUUGUUAAUUUCUUGUAUCUUUAUUUUGGAUCUUAAGAUUUAUGUGGAAAUUGUUUGGUUUGGUUGUGUACUUUUUGAAGUUUUGUUUAUUGUUUGUGACUUGUUAUGUUUGUAGUUGUGUAAUUUUUUAUAUGUUGAGCAUGUUUUUAACUUUGGAAAGGCAGCAUACAAAUAAAAUGAUUGAUUGAUUGAUUGGAUUGCGCUUACUCCAAACCAAGAAGGUAUGAAGCUGCUUCAGGGGCCAGAUCCAGCCCAUCAGCUAUCUUUUUAGCACCCAUGCUGUAGACCCAACUAACCUCAUGAAAGAUGCCUAGGCUGUAGAGGACACACAGAAGACCCAUGUUAUUUCAAACAUGUUAUUUCAUAGAAGACACAUGUUAUUUUAAACUGAAUUGUUGGAGGGCAAAGUUAAAUUGCUAUCAAAGAUGUAUAAUCUGUUGUUGGAAUGGUAUACAAAAGAUGAAGGGACUAAAUAAGUUAUGAUAAAAUGGGCUAUUAAUUUUGGGUAUAAUAUUGAGUUUGAAUCUUGGUCAAAAUUGUGAAAUUGUGGAAUGAAAUUGUAAACUUUAAGCUUGCACGGCCUUAAAAGAGAAUGUAAUGAAAAUUAUGUAUAGGUGGUAUUUAACACCAGUGAAGUUGGCCAAAAUGCAUAGGAUGAGGAACAAAUUAUGUUGGAAAUGUAAAGAAAAAGACGGAGAUUUUUACCAUAUGUGGUGGGCUUGUGAUAAAGUAAAAGCAUUCUGGGAAUUGAUCUAUAAUUGAUCUAUUAAAAAAGAUGUUUAGAUAUACCUUCCCCAAAAAGCCAGAAGCAUUUUUGCUGAGUUUGAUGGGAUAGGAAAUUGCUAAUGUAGAUCAAAAGACUAUUUAUGUACGCCACGACGGCAGCAAGAACUUUAUUAGCUCAAAAGUGGAAAGUGCAGGAAUUGCCAACGAUUGAGGAGCGGCAGACAAAGAUGAUGGACUAUGCAGAAUUAGCCAAGCUGACCAGUAGAAUCCGGAACCAAGACGACCAAAAGUUUCAAAGAGACUGGAGUAAAUUAUUUGGGUAUAUGAACAAUUAUUGUAAAAAUGUGAAGACACUAGCGGGAUUGAAAUAAAUCCUGCAACGAAAUUUAAAACAUUUUAUAACUUUCUAGACCAAAGAGACAGAGUCAUGAAGGACAUGAAGGUCAGAAGUGGAGAUUUUAAAGUGCAAUGUAAAGACUUGAAAACAAAAAAACCAGUUGAAGGGAUGGAGGGAAGUCACAAGCUCAGCAGAGCAAAGGGUAUUUUUAUUUGCUAUUGUAAUGUUGGAAAUAUUGUGUUAAAAAAGAAAUUAAUAAAAAUUAUAUGUAAAAGAAGAAGAAAGAUGCCUAGGCUGUAACAAUGGGAAAGUGGCCCUCUCAGGUAUACUGAACAUUAAGUUUAGAAAGUGGACUUGACUGACACCAUUUACACUCAUUGAGUAACUGAGAUGAUGUUCUGUCAACCAGGCGUCCACCAAUGGACCAGGCAGACACAAUCUGCAAUGGGAUUGUGCAAACUCCCAGACAGAGGUCUCAGGAGGAAUGAGCCACUGUGUUGCACUAAGUAGAGCGUAAUCCAAUCUGUGAGCCGCACGUCUCCCUCCUACACCUCCAUUUAAAUGGGAUUUAAAUGGGAGCUUACAAGGGAGCUCUUUGCUAAUGAAAGGGGGAAUUAACAAUUCUUCCUCAAUGCUCCAUUGAUUUCCCCCCACUGUUCAGAGCUAGUAUCCUUUAUGGAAACUAGUGCUUUAUUUCCUUAGAACUGGUAGUGGCAAAAGACGGAGCCACUAUUUCUGGUGGCUGGCAGGGGAAGGAGAAUCUAUGCCUGGGGACAUCUGGCUAAACAGCAUCAGCAAAGCAAAAGGAUCUCUGGGAAAGGGGGGGGGAUGUUGAAUAUAUAAUCUCCACAUGGUAAGCCAGUGGCUGGGAAUGUAUUGUCCCUACAUGCCCUUCCUGUGAAGAUUAAUAGCUGCCUUCAAAACAGCUGCUGGUAUUAGUGAUGAAAGAUUGGGUUGCUCACUGGUAGAGUUCUGAUGCUCUAACCUGAGAUGGGGUAGUGGUGGCUUUCCAAAUGUUGAGAGACUGCAAGCUCCCAUCGUGAUUGAUGCUUGGUCAUGCUGACUAGGACUGAUGGGAGUUGGAAUCAUAGAACUGGAAGGAACCACAAGAGUCAACUAGUCCAACUAGUGGCGGAGCUCCAUGCUCUGGCACCAGGGGUGGAAAGUAGGCAGGGGUGUGGCUGGUGCGCAUCCCGGGGGCAUGGCAGGCAUCCUGGGGGCAUGGUGCACAUCCUGGGGGUGUGAUGUGCCGCCUGUGGGGGCGUGGCACCGCAAUGGCACCCCACUGGGAUUGUGGUGCUGGGGGUGGUGCGCUCCCCCUGCCCCCCUCUUCCUCCGCCAGUAAGUCAAACCCUCAAUGCAGCAAUUUUUUGCCCAACACGGGGCUCAAAUCCACAACCUCUCAUGUUCUACCAACUGAGCUAUGCCAGGAUUGGGGUUUGAGUCUAACUGCAUAUGGAGUGAGGCUUGAAAAGGGACCCCAUGUUCACUGACAUCUGAGUUUCCAGCUUGCUUUUUAAGUGUGAAAUCUGCAAGGCUGGCUAUAUGCAGUAAAUCCUUGGUGGUCUCAAAAAAUUUAGCAUCCUGAAAAACUUUGGGCAGAAUGGAGGCACUAUGGAGACUCAGUAUGGAAGGAUGUGCCAGUGUCCGUUCUCCAAGUUUCUUAUUGUUCCAGUCUUUUGGGAACACAGGAAGCAGGCUUAUACUGAGCCAGACUAUUGCUCCAUCUAGGUCAGCACUGUCUAAAACUGGAUGGUAGCAGCUCUCUAGGGUUUCAGGCAGGAAGCUCUCCCAACCCUUCCCAGAGAUGCUGGGGAUUGAGCCUGGGACAUUCUGUUGGCAAGGCAGGUGCUGUGCCACUGAGCUAUGGCCCUUCCCCAAAUUCACCUCUCCACAGCUCUGUAGCAAUUUGUGAUUAAAUAAUAAUAAUCAUGAAAAUUAUUCGGUAUUUUGUCAACACAUUUUUGUACACAUUUUUGACAAAUGUACACAUACUUGCAAACAACUGUCCCAAGACCUCCAGGUAUAGGGCGGUAUAGAAAUUCAAUAAUAAAUAAUAAAUAAAUAAACAACCUCUCCUGAUACAAUGCAUUUUAAUGUUAUUUUCAGUGGUAUAUUCAUUUGUUUGCCCAUUUCCCUGUAAAAUUAAUGCAUUUUUGUGAACAUUGGUUGCAGAACUGCAUCCCAGCAUUUACAUAAGAGAUGGCUGUGUUUCUUGUAUUGUUUCAGAAAGUGCAGAGUUGAUAGAUUUAGCUUGGAAUGUGAACUGAAUCAUAUUUCUCCCCCAUUCCUUAUGGAGUUACAGGCAUUUUGCCAAAAGUGGCAUCCCUCUGUUCAGUUCUCAGUGGGGCUCCCCUGUAAUGAGUGUCCUCUCUCGACUUCAUAUGAGUGUAUGUUUUGCCCCAUUCUGUUCCACUGGGUGGUGAAGAUGGGGAAACUCGUCCUGCUACACUGCAAAAGUGCUCAUGCACAUUGGGGGGGGGGGAUGCAGUAGCCACAGAAGUACAGUUUGCUGGAAGCUGUCCCAUGUCGUCUGCAGUGUGUGGUCCCUUCUACUUUCUCCUGGUCCUUUUGGCCACUCAGAGAUGACACCAGACUGCAGGCCUCUUAGUCUCCUGUCUUUCUCUGCCCUGCUCUGUUUCUGGUGGUGGUGGUAGUAGCAGCUUUCUCUCCAUGGGAAAUCUGGUAGGGUCAGUUUGCACUGCUGAAUUUCUUCCUGCCGUUAUGUGCCCUGGUACAUGUCGGUGAAGAGAGAGGUUAAUGUGUACCAGACUGUGUGUGCAGAGAGCCAGAAGCUAUCUCCAGGCUCACUCCCACCCCAGCAGCUGUGCUCAGAGAAAUGGCUGCCAGCUCACAGCGGGUGCAGGGAAGUGCAUUACUCAUCUUUCAAUGUGUUAGUUGCCUUGCAUCUGGUGAAAUUAAGCCGCUUGAGGCAGCCCCAAGUCCUAAUACCCACGUGAGGCUUUUGCUCUUCUCCCACCCCCAUGUAUCCUCCACUUGAUUCUUUACUCAACAGUUACAUUUUUUUUAAAAAAAAGAACACUCAGUUCUCACACUCACAUGUGUUCAUUCCCCUAUGUGACUGAAGUCCCACAAAGCCAGCUGUUCACUACCAUCCUAAAGAGUUAUUUCAAAUACUAUGCCAAGGCUUGGCGUGACCCUCGAGAUGCUGUUAAGCCUCCAACUUUCAACAGCUCUAGCCUUUAUAGCCAACAGUUGGGGAUGAUGGGUGUUGUAAUCCAGCAAUCUGAGGAUAGCUACUGAUUUCCCAUCCCUGCGCUACCCAGAGGGAGAUCCAUGAUUGCUGCACUGUUCAUGCGCCACAGCCAGUUGAGGUUUGCCUGAUGAGUGGGACCUGUGAAGCCUUUGUCAUAUUUAUAAUUUUAGGUAUGUGCUUAAUGCUUUUGCUUCUUUUGUGUGUGCACCAACAGAUGUGAUGGAUGAAGUGGCUCUAACUCAGCCCUGUGUCAAAUGCACGCCUAUGGAAAGGACCAUUUCCCUUCUACUUGAGUUUUUGGGAUUUAGAAAGGUGCAUCUUCCCCAAGCAAGCUGCUAAGUCUGGGGAGGGAAAACCUGUGGUGUUCCAGAUGUUUGCGGACUCCAACUCUGAUCAUCCCCACCCAGCCUGGCUGAUGUCCAGGGACAGGAAUAUGUGAAGAUGCCUGAGACUGAGUCAGACUGUCUAGCUCUCGGGAUAUUCCACACUAACAGAGAGCAGCUCUUCAAGGUUUCAGACAGGGUUCUCUCCCAACCCUCACCGACCAGGGUAGAAUUAUUGUUCAGUAAAAAAAAAGAGGCUGGAUAGAUGGUUUAUUGAGACAAGGUUAAAACCCUCCAGCUUUUAAAUGGUGAGGCACAAUGAGCCCAAUUUGUAGAACUGGAGAGAAAAUAAAACAUGCUAGAAUGUGGCAAAAGUGGUCUGAAAACAGCAUCCUCUGCUCUCAAAACAAUUGCCUGAUAAUGCAGCAAAUUGUCAUUCAAACCACUUCCACUAUCAUUUAGAAUGGGGAUGGGUAGCCUGUGGUCCUCCAGCUGUUGUUGGACUUGAACUUCCAUGAGAUAUAGCCAGCAUGCCUAGUGGUCAGAGAUGAGGGGAGAAGGAACAACACCUAGAAGACACCACAUUGGCUUCUUCUGCUUUAGAAUGUCUUCUGGUUUCCACCCAAAGAGAAUUUGCUAACACUGUGAAGAGGGUGGAGGAGAAGGCAAAUUACCAAAGAGGAGAAGUGGUUGUCAUAAUUUUAAAAAAGGAUAAAUACCUUUCAGGGGUCGUUUAAGCUUAAUUGACCCUGCUUAUAGGGAGAGCAGUUUGGCCUGUGAAUUUACUACCCAGCUUUGAAAUUCACUUUGUAUUAAGUAAAAUGGGGCAUUCAGAUAGUGGUUGUUGUUAUUUUUUCCAAGGGAAAGCUGCUGAGGAAAGCAGACAAACAGUAACAGAGAAGGAGAGGUCUCAGCAGGCGCUUGGGAGGGCGUGGGGGCAGCACUUGAUGCCUCAAUCCAUCACCUGGACUGGCGUCAGCGAUUUUCUUUCUUUCUUUCUGUUGCUCCUGAGACUGGAGCUGGCAGCUCCAUCUAAUAACCAGGUGACAGAUAAUACAAGACCCUGUGUGGUGUGUGCUUCAUGUAAUAAUGGAGCUCACAGCCAAGCGGAGUUAGAGGAGGAGGAGGAAAGCUGCUAGGCUAUGCAUUUUUGCUGCGACCCUCUGCAAAAUAAUUCCCUCCCUACCCCUUAAGCUUUCAGGCUUUGACAUAUAUAUCUUCAGUGAACUUACGAGAUCUUCUCCACACUGCGUGGUUACAUAAGAGCCUAAGAAGAGCCUGCUGGAUCAGGCCCAUGGUCCACCUAGUCCAGCUUCCCAUUCUCACAUUGGUCAACCAGAUGUCCCAUGGGGAAACCUGCAAGCAUGAUCUGAGGUCAACAGCACUUGUGAUUCCCAGCAAUUGGUAUGCAGAGGCAUACUGUCUCCAACAGAGAGAGAAAAACAUAGUGAUCUUGGCUAGCAGUUACUUUUAAAGCCAUCCAUCCAAGUUGGUGGCCAUCAUUUGGUAGCAACAGGUUUCCUGCUGAGAUGUAAACUUUUUAAAUCUCCCAAAGAAUCUCCUGUUAAGAAUCUUGAAUGGAGUCUCAUGUCACACAAGUGGCAAAGACAAGAGAGCUCCUGGAGAUCAAAGGCUGUACUGGGUUAAAUAUGUUAUUCCAUCCUUCCCCUUACAUUCCCAGCACCUGCCCCUCUUCCUCAACCUGAGGGUGUGCUUGGAAUGUGAGAGAGGCAAGUGGAUGAUGGGAGAGGGGGUGGCAUGUGAAGAAGAUUGAGGGUUGAUUUGUUACCUGCUGCAGUUGCAGAGGUGUUCAGGUGGUAACACUAUAGACACGGAGCUAUAAGAGGGACAGAGGGACCUUGGCACUGCAGUUGUUGCAGUUCCAGAUGAAGUACGCAAUGCCAGAGUCAGUGAUGUGCUGUGGGAAUGGUUUCUGUUUAUGCAGUUUGCUGAUGUGGACAAGGUGCUGGUGGCAAUCCCUCUGUCCUGCCUGGCUAAUUAAAUCUAGCAGAGGGUUGGGUCCAGAGUGUGACCAGCACUUCAGUGUGCAAGGGGAUGGUUCCUGCUACAUUGAAAUGGGUGUUGGUGUGACCACUUCUAAAGAAAUCAGCCCUGGGUUGGAAUAACUAUAUGCCCACUUUUGGAGGAAGCUGAUGGAAAGAGUUUUGGUGGGGCAGCUGCAAGCAAUCUUGGAUGGCAAGGACUAUUGAUAUCUAUUCCAAUCUGGGUUCCCAUCAGAGGAGGAGAUUGGGAGUAUCCAAAUCUUUGUUUAAACUAGCUGCAGUUUAUUACCUCUGAAUUUAAGAGCUGUGGUUACUUUAAAUUAUGGUUUAUAAGAACAUGUCAGGAUCAGAAAGCAUUGUCUCCUUGGGAUUUGAUUCAAUAAACUGUGGCUUAAAUAACAGUUUGUCCUUAUUAGAUGUAAUGGCAAAGCACUGUUAGGUUGAAACCUGGAAGUGGAUGCUUCUGACCUCACCCUCUUGACACAUUUCAGAGGAUUGGGGGGGGGGACUGCUUCACCUCAAGUUUGCUCAUAUUGCUAGGCUGUGUUUCUAUCACACUCUGAGGUGAACAAGAAGGGGAGCAGCUGGAGGGGGGUAUGGUGCACCCCUUAAAGCCAGAGUGUUAUAUUAAUGUAUGGUGGUAAUAUACAGGAACCUAAGUUGGCUGAAUGAUUCCCAAGUGCGAAUCAUAGCUCUUGGAAAUAUAUGUACUAUUGCAGCCCUCAUCUGUCUCAAGAGUAUCUGGCUUUCCUCGAAAACCCCUUGUGUUUCCAUGUCGCUGUCAAAUCAUGUUACAGCCUCCAGUCACAUCCCUAGCUGUAAAGAGAGAUGGCAGAAAAGAGCCUCAUGGGACAGAUCACCCUGGAACAUGUCAUUUGUCAUGUGGGUCACGGUCUGUUUGGAUUUUGCUUUUUUACCCCCCCCCCCCAUUUCCCCCUUUUGCCAACAGCAGAGUUAAGUAAAAAUGACACUGGGUGUAUUAUUAGAGCCUUUCUGCUUUCUAUUGAUCAGGCCUCACUGGCGGUCUAGGGUCAUAGUCUGGGCGGCCGUGCUCUGUUAAAGAGGGGAUGGUUGGAAAGGGUCCAAACCAGUGAGGAAAGAUGCUUUAGAUCUAAUGCAGAAAGGUUGAAAAGGCUGGUGGGUCUGCCCUGCCCACAGAAGCAAAGGGAAUUGCAGGAUAUGUGAGAGGCAUUCCAAAUGUGAGUCAGAACCAUGUGGUUUUGUUCCAUCCCCUUUGCCCUAUUCCAUUUUUUGGCUGGCAUCCCAAUCCCAUGAGUAUGUGUAAGGAUCUGCUGCAGUGGUACCACCAUGUGCACCAGAACAAGCUGAGGCAGUUGAAAGGAAUAAAGGUCCCUGUCUUCCCAGAGUUCCUUAAGCCUUCUCCUCCCCUGGAUCCUUCCCUAGCAGCCUGAGGCUCCUUCAUCUUGUUUCUCUAUGCUCUGCACUCUUCAUUCCUCUCUGUGUUCUAGGAGACAUGGGGGGCGGGAAUAACUGGUCACAGCAGGAGGAGGAGAUCCCUGGCUUCCUCAACAGCCUGUCUCAUCUCUGCCUCUAGUAGCCCCUCAUCUCCAACCUCUGUUUCUGCCUCUGGACUGCUCUCUGCCACAGCCUCUUCCUUCUCACUAAACCCUGUUGCCUCUUCAGCUUCUGACACCUCCUCCUCCCAGUCUGCCCCAUCUUCUCCCUCUGACCAGGUAUCAUCGUAUCAUCGUACCAUCACCAGUCCCCUGGCUCUGAGCCUUCUUCCACAUGGGGUUCCCUUGGGGGUUCCCCAACUGGUACCUCCCACCACUCCUUUGCAUCCUAUCAGUCCAUGUCAAAUACCACCUGAAUAUUAAUUUAUGAGAAGUCUUUUUAAGUUUAUGCAGAACAGACUUUAGCUAUGCCACCAGCUGGAAAGGUGGUGUUUUUUCAAAAACGUUUUGUUCAUGUGACUUGACUUGCUUGUUUGAGCCAUCUGAUUGUGCUUGCCACUUGAAUAGGCUUCCAUUUGUGGGUAAAGGGAGAGCGGCACUGAUGAUGUCUUGCCAGGCACCCAUCACAAGCCUGAAGGAAAUUCUGAAGGAGUGCUUGAUAGACUCUUCCAGACAAACAGAGGCACAAACUGAACCUACAGCAACUGCCUUUUAUAUGUGCUUAUCAGAUUCACUCCUCACCUUUGACAUGCUCUGAAUAUACACCUGAGAGAGUUUCUCUUCCCAACCUUUCCAGCAUCUGGAAAGGUAUACGAGUGGGGCCCUAUGGCAGAUCCUUUUUUCCCCCGUCUCACAGAUGAGGAACUGAGACCUUAUUUUCCCAUGGACUCUCCCAAGUUGGAUUUGACCCCAGGUAGCCUUGGGGCCUCACUAGAGGCAGACAUAGAGGUGACACGUGAUUUGCAACUACUGCCGCUGAAAAUGGCAGCCAGACAUUUGAGUUAUUAAUUUAUUGCUAUUAUUUUUAAUUGCAUUUAUAUCCCACUUUUUCCUGCAAGGAGCGCAAGGUGACAUGCAUUUAAUUCCCACAACAACCCUGUGAGGGAGGUUGGGCUGACAGGCAGUGAGCUUUGUGGCUGAGUGGGGAUUUGAACCCUGGUCUUCCAGGUCCUAGCCUGGCACUCUAACCACUACACCACGUCAGCUCUCAUGUUCUCCCACCUCCUGCUUUUCUCUUCAGCUGGUUUUCUCCGUGGGGUUGCCAAACAAUGAUAUGGAGCAAGGAUAGGGAAUUAUAGGUCGGCUGACUUUGCUGCCUCUGAACCUAGAAGGGUGCAUGCUGGCCACUGAGGUUUGCAGCCCAUGGACAGACUUUUUCCUAUGCAUUUGUCCUUUCCGCUCCUUUGAAGCCCUUCUCACCCCAUGGCAAUCACCCCCUAUUGUACUAACAGAGGCCAUAAAUGAGUGGCUAACACCUAGCAUUUUCUUCCAGGCUGAGCAAGGAGUGCUUUCCUCCUGAGGCCAUCCAAUGGGUUAAUGUCGGAGCCUGGGACUUGAACCUGCCUCUGCUCAGGGAUCCAUAUACAUUACAGCACAGUGGGGGCAAAGUGAUGGUUUUUAUUGUUUUCUGAAAUCCGAUUUCAUAACAUGGUUAGUUCCACAUUACAGAAGCAACCGAGCCUGCAACCCUCUGGUAAAUAAGAAUAAUAGCAAUUAUAUCAUGUCCAAUCUUCUUCCUUUACGAGUCCCCCUUUAGGGCUUUUUCAGUCCACCAGGUUCCAGUCGCUUUUCGGUUCUGCAAACAUGCGCAUUGCAGCCAGAAAUCAAAUGGGAGAGAGAGAGAGAGAGAGAGAGAGAGAGAGAGAGAUUACUAUUUCCCAGCUGCCUUCCGGGGGCCCUGCAGCCCACUGUGCACAUCCAUACAUCAGGAAAAUGACCUUUUGGUAUUAUUUUUUCCUCCAUUUCCCUACUGCUGGAGAGGUUGGGGUGGGCAGAGGGGAAGUAAUGCGUUCUCUCUCUAUGUCUCUUCCUCUCUCUAUUUCCAGUUGACUUCACUCAGAGCUGUGGAGCAUCUCUGCCUGGGGGAGGAGGGAGGGGGCAUAACAACCGAAAGAACCAGACUGAUUUCCACCUUCUUUGUUAAACAGAGGAAACAUUACCGAGGGAAAGUGGCCUAUUUUCAGGGGAAGUGGAUUAAAUUACCCUAUGAAACAUGAGAUCGGAGGAGGAAGCGGGGGCAGGGAAGGGCCAGGCUUGCAAUGUCACUGUGUGUGUGUUGAUGUGCACAUAUUUUUACACACACACACAUUGUGGCAAUGGAGUCUCUGCCUCAGACUGGCUAGCCUGGUGUGAUGUCACAGAAUGUCCAAAACAUUCCAAGGGUUCAGGGGAGGAAGCAGCUGUCCAAUGAAAAGGCUGCUGUUCAGCUCUUCAGAGGGAAGAUAAGGUUGGUGGCCCCAGGCCUAGAAAGGAUUGUGUGUGGCAGACUGAGGGUAGCAAAGUGAGUGGGAAGAGCUCCUGAGAGGUCAGUAAAGUGAUGCACAGGAACUGAAGAGGAAGAACAGGUGCAAGAAGAGGAGGACACGGAGCUAUGGGGCAGGAAGGGCUCCUUAGAAAGUGUUUGGUGGACAACCUCAGAGGCCUCAAGGGCAGGAGAUGCUGUAUGAUCUUAGUCUGGCCACAAGCUGGGGGCCAAUUUAGGGGAGCACUGGGCACUGAGCCUUGGAGGCACCACAGAGGAUGCCGCAACUUCGAUUUAGAAAUGGAGUGCAGGAGGCAGGGGUGCCGAAUUUUGGCAUCGCACAGGGUGCUGCUGUAAUUUGAGAUGCCAAGGUCCACCAUUGCUAGUGGAAGUGUGGCAGAAUAGAGAGAGUCUGAAUAUAUACUACAGUGAUUGGAAGGGGCAGAUUCAAGGAGUCUGUUCUGUGUUUCCCAAUUUGAACUGUGACUCUGGUAGCACCUUUUCAAAUAAACUGAUAUUCUAGGGACUUCAACUUCUGUAUGUUACACCACUAUAAAGGUAAAGGUAAAGGUACCCCUGCCCGUACGGGCCAGUCGUGUCCGACUCUAGGGUUGUGCGCCCAUCUCACUUAAGAGGCCGGGGGCCAGCGCUGUCCGGAGACACUUCCAGGUCACGUGGCCAGCAUGACGAAGCUGCAUCUGGCGAGCCAGCGCAGCACACGGAAACGCCGUUUACCUUCCCGCUUUUUAAAGCGGUACCUAUUUAUCUACUUGCACUUGGGGUGCUUUCGAACUGCUAGGUGGGCAGGAGCUGGGACCGAAAGACGGGAGCUCACCCUGCCGCGGGGAUUCGAACCACCGACCAUGCGAUUGGCAAGUCCUAGGCACUGAGGUUUAACCCACAGCGCUACCCGUGUCCCUAUAAGUCCCUAUAAGUAUAUACCACUAUAAGUGCUGUUAUACCGAGUCACACUGGUCUGCCUAGCCAGUGGUGGGCAACCUCCAGGCCCUGGCCUAAUUGCAGAUGCUAGGGGCCCACUCUUGUUCUCUGGGCUACCUUUCUGGGAUUGCUGCCUCUUCUUUCUUUCUUUCUUUCUUUCUUUCUUUCUUUCUCUCUCUCUCUCUCUCUCUCUGUGUGUGUGUGUGUGAGAGAGAGAGAGAGAGAGAUCCUCCACAUGUCUCUUAUAUAUUAUACAUCCAUAACAAUAUCAAGUGGAUAUACAUGAUCCCACUUUCAAUACUGUGCAUGUUUUAGGGCCCAUGUACUGCUGCAUUCUCCUGCCAACCUGGCAGUUCGAAAGCACGUCAAAGUGCAAGCAGAUAAAUAGGUACCGCUCCGGCGGGAAGGUAAACAGCGUUUCCGUGCGCUGCUCUGGUUCGCCAGAAGCGGCUUAGUCAUGCUGGCCACAUGACCCGGAAGCUGUACGCCAGCUCCCUUGGCCAAUAAAGCGAGAUGAGCGCUGCAACCCCAGAGUCGUCCACGACUGGACCUAAUGGUCAGGGGUCCCUUUACCUUUUUUACUGCUGCAUUGCCAUUCAGUGCAUGCCCUGUAGCUUCCUGCUGAAAUCGUGUAACUUUCCAUACCAUGACCAUUCCAGGGUGGUUGUUCUCCUGCUUCUGUUGCACUGUAGCACAGGAGUGCCCAUCCAGGAAGCAAUAAUGUGGUGACAUUGGGGAAGCAUCACAGAACAACUAAUAAGGCAGAAUCAUAUUGAGCAGCCCACUAUAAAUCUGCCACCAAUGCAGUCUAACUGCCUCAGUGACAUAAUGCAGCAGGCACCUCCCCCAAACCCGGAGAGAAUGCAAGAGGGUGCUGUGCGACCCUGCAGUCCUACAAAUCCCACCCACUUGUGGCUCUGGCCCCUCCCACUGCUGGCAUGCAGCCCCCCAAAAAUGGCUUGUUGAGGGAAGGUGACGCUCAGGAGUUCCCCACCCCAAUCCAGGCUGAUUAUGACAACUCUGUCUGGUAGCAGCUUUCCAGUGUUCUGACUCCAGGGCUUCCCUGUUUUGCUGCCUUGAUUCCUUAUCUGAACCAGCAGCCUUAUUCAUGCAAAGCAUAUCCUUUAUCCCUGAGCCCUCCCUUCUUGGGAUGUUGCCCCAGAACAGCUGACAGUAAGCGGUGCAAAGCAGAGCAUUGACUCCCAGUGGGCCUAUGAUGCCAAUUUAAAUGGCAGGGAAGGGUGUGCAGAAUGGCUAGUGGCUCACUCAGUCUUCAUAAUGGGAGAGGAACGUGUCGCUUCUGUUUAGGUCUUGAUUUAUGCAAUUGGAUCUGUGUAUGGACUCCUGCUCUGCUUCCUCGUUUUCCAUAUGUCCACUAGAAGUGAAUUUAUUGAGGAGAACUUUGAAGCUUCUUAUGCAAUAUUCAGGUGGACUGAAAUUCUCUCCCAGAGUAUUUAGGGUGGGGUUUUUUGUUUUUGUAUUUUCUUUGUUGGUUUGUUCUUCAUAGCUCAUGCAGCAAACAUGGGGCUUUAGUGAGAAUUACAAGGAAAAAAGAAGGUAACUCCCUACCCCAAUGAGCUUACAGUAUAAUAAUAAUAAUAAUAAUAAUAAUAAUAAUAAUAAUUUUAUUAUUUAUACCCCGCCCAUCUGGCUGGGCCUCCCCAGCCACUCUGGGUGGCUUCCAAAAAUAUUAAAAUAAUGUAAUACAUCAAAAUAAUGUAAAACAUAAAAUGUUGACAGUCAGCCGGGGGGGGGGGGCAAAGGAUUAGGCGAGCAUAUAACAGAAAGAAGAGGGGAAUGGAAGAGGCAAAGGUAACAAGGCAUGAAUGAAGAAGUAUAGAUAAGGCCAUGUGCCAGUCGGGGGUGGGAAUCUCUCUGUAGAAACUGUGUGCCAAGAAAAUCCAAGUUUUGCAACAAAUAUAUUUGCAGGAUGAGAGCUUAGGAAGCAGCAUCUCAUCCAGUAGUGUCUGCUCUGGGUCCCAGGCAGAGAGGGAUUUUCUCCACUCCUUGCUCCCUGGUCUGUCUGCCGCCUGCAUCAGGGGCAGGGUGUACAACAGGGUGCUCUCCGGAUGUUACUGGACUGCAGCUCCUUCAUCCCUGGCCACUGGCUGUGCCGAUGGAGAGGGGAGUCCAACCACAUCUAGAGGGCCAAGUUUCCCACACCCCUGGAGAUGCCAGGGAUUGAACCUGGGACCUCCUGCCUGCAGAAUAUGUGCUUUCCCACUGAGCUGCAGCCUCUUCCAUCUGAUACAGCUGCGACAAGGAAGCUGGUGCUGAUGGCACUGGGGGUUGGAAGUGGUAUAUCAGUUUUCUAAGGAGCAUGUAAGUGCUACUGCGGCUGGGGACAGGGAGAGAUGGGUAAGUCCUUUCUCCUGGCGAGAGGAGCUCUUUUUCACCACUUAGCAGCUAAGCAGGGCUUCUUUGCAAUUGCCUCUCUGUCUCCUGCUCUCACUCACAAGCCAGUAAGGGAGACAGAAUGGGCUUUCUGAGCUGGCUGCACACAGCCUUGUUCACAAACCGCCCACAAGAGUCUAACAGCAGCUGACAAGUGACUGUGGGUCAUGGAUACAGUUUGGCAGAAGCAGCAAGAGUACAGUAGCGACGGCAAAACAAAUGGGUGAUGUGGUUCUACACUGAAGAAGUGUGUUAAGGCCUCUGCUGGAGCCCCCCUCUGCAUCUCUCCAGGUGGCUGCUUUGCAAAAGGGGGGGGGGGAAUGAGCUUAGGCAGGAGGAAGUUUAAUCUGUAGUAGUUAAGUAGAUCUGAGUGAGUGAGUGAGGAGAUCUGUGGUUCAAAUCUCAUGUUCCCCAUAAUCUCACUGUGUAGCAAUAAAUAAAAUAUCCCUCUCUCCCCUCCAUCUACAUUAUGGGGGCAAUCUUGACCUAACUUUCAGGGUUGUUGUAAGGAUUCCAGAUAAAUUUGCUUAAAGUGUUUUGAACACUUGAAAUGUGCAAUAUAAAUACCUGUUCAUUUUUUUUAAAAAAACGGUGUGUAUAUAUAUAUAUAUAUAUGUGAACUAACAGCAUCCCUGUGUAGAUUUAAUGCUAAGCUUAUAUCUUGGGAAGUACACCUUUUAAAAUGGCAGGUGCCAUCCAACAUGCAAGCCUAGAAUAUCUAUUUUGGGUGGUACAGACUGCAGGCUUUUGCGUUUACUUGCCUCUGCCUGUAGCACAUACCACAGGGCAGAACUACUGCCAUGAGUUGAAGGCUAGAGGAAUCUGUUAUGCACUGCAUACACAUCCAGCUUCUUCAGAAAUGUCUGCAGUCCUGAAACUGGCAUGAGUCCAGCUGAGAUGCUUAAGCAAACACUUUUUGCCUGUGUCGGUAUGAUCUCCACAGAUCAAUCAACCCUCAGAAUCCAAGGCUAGUUGCAUUCUUAGUGGCAAUAGUUAGGACAGAGUCUAUUCUACUGGUUCAUUUCAAAGCAGGGGGAUCUAGUAACCAUUUAACAGUCAGCGUGGAAGGAAAGGAGAGUUCUUGUAUCUGUGAAUGAGGAGCUGUCCUCCCUGGCUGUAGUCUUGGUAGACUAACAUUUCUGCUUUGAUUGCAGGUUAUUGGCUGCUGUUAAUUACCCUUUCCCCAUUCUCCUUCGUAAGUUAAGCACAUAAUUUGGCAAUGUGAAUUGAAUUCAACAUCUCUAGAAUCAUUGUUUUUAUAUUGUAAAAAAACCCAGACACAAGUUUUUAGCUCUCUAAAUGUUGGAAAUACAUGUAAACAAUUUUUGAUGGGAUUGCUCAAGCUAGAGAGGAGGCUGGGUGAGAUUUCCAAUGGUCAGAAGGCAGUACUGCUGCCCCAUGCUUAAAUCCUUGCUUUUCCCAGUGACUAAACACAAAAGCACAUUCAAAUAUGUGAGAGUUGCAUAGCAUAUGCAGGUAAUAGAAACAACUGGUGCUGAUUUCCGUUACACUCAGUGCUGACUGCUUUAUGCAACAGGCACACAUACAUUGAUGCUCUUUCCCCUCAUCGUCAUCUGCUACCUGUUCCACUGAGAACAACGCUGAGCCAAGGGAGCCGAUUCUGCUGGACAGCGAACCCCAAUGGCAUUGUUUGGCAAGCCUGCUUAAUCUCCACUGUGGGAUCCUCUGGCUCAUCAAUCAAAGUGGAAUUGGUGUAAUACAUCAGUAGAUAAUAGAAAGGACAGUGCAGUGUUCUUUAAAAACCUAGGAAUGACAGACAGUAAGCUGUCAUUCCUGACAUAUGUAUUUGAUGACUGUGCAUGAUAUUAAUUUUAUCUGUCAUAGCAAUAAAUGAAUGAUACUGCUCAGUGCAUCAGAUCUGUAUUUCUUAAGUGAUCAUUAUUAUGAGAUAUUGUUUUUCCAGGUAGAUAAGCUAUCUUUAGAGUUAAGGAUGUCUGGUGCAUAGAUUUAUGCAUGUUGGCUCUGAUACAUCUAUGCGCGGGCAGGCAGGCAAGCAGAAACACAUUGAUACCAAUAAAAAACAAGUUCCCAUCCAAUUCUCAUUUGACAGGGGUCAUCAUAACUACAUCAAGAGGAGAAAGGAAAGAAAAGGAGAAAGGAACUUGGCAAGGCUGCUUUGUCUGUGUGUUGGCAGGAAAUUGCUUGCAAAGGGAAUUCAUUGGCUUGAGCAAUAUUAAGAUCAGAAUGGCCCAUCAAGAGCAUCCAGUGUGACAAUUCAGCUGGAAAGGGCAUUGAAUUCUGACCAAGUCUUACUGAGGAACCUUCUUAGAACUUUAAAAUGGUGGUAAAGGCCUUGGGGGAGGGGGAAUGUUUCAGGAGACUUUCCACCCAUGGUGUCCCAGAUUAUACCUCUGGACCCCCAACUAGCUCAGAUCUGUUUGUUUGUUUGUUUGUUUGUUUGUUUGUUUUUACUGUGGACCUCCAACAAGUGCCCCACAAGACACUUAUUAUAUUCCUUUCAGCAGCUGUUAAACUGGAAAUAUCCACCAUUAGAGCCAUAUAUUCUUUUUCCUCCAGACUUUGAGCUACCAUUUUGGUCUUACCAUCUUCAUCAAUCCAUAAGCAAUCCAUAAAUCAAUCCAUAAGCAUUGAUUUUUAAUAAUGGGAGACUUCCUGGUGUUUUGUCGGUAUCAGCACCCUUCCCAUUUAUUAUACUAGUUUGUGUACAUGGAUGUCUCAAG
Molecule: non-coding RNA, 56187 nt
Organism: Podarcis lilfordi (Lilford's wall lizard)
Lineage: Eukaryota; Metazoa; Chordata; Lepidosauria; Squamata; Lacertidae
Source: the annotation of a GenBank genome assembly